RNAcentral lists this long non-coding RNA (85621 nucleotides) under Triticum aestivum (bread wheat). RNAcentral's name for it is "long non-coding RNA (TAES_LNC026643)". The record is from RNAcentral. Lineage: Eukaryota; Viridiplantae; Streptophyta; Magnoliopsida; Poales; Poaceae.
UUUUUUUGUUGUUUUUGUUUUGAAAGGGGAAAUAAAUAUGCAUGAAACAAAUUCAAGAUCAUAGAAAAAAGAACAUGCGAGAACUUCAUCUAGAAAUGGUCGGCGACAAAGUCACCUAUGUUAGAGUAUGUUGACUUAGGAGUCAAGUGAGAUCACUUGAUCAUAGGUCAUACUCAUUGUUUAAGCUCAAAAUGGGGUUACCAUUUUUCGUUUAAGCAUCUUGAUGUAUUCACAUCUUGUCGAGUUGCUUUGACUCAUGACUUGGAGUAAAGCUUCUCUAAGACAGAAUAAUAUACCUUGGGCGGUGGUGUUGAUCUUGAUCAUGUAGUUGAACUUGUGUGGGUUGCUCAAGGUUGAUGUAGCUCAUCAAGAGUUGGGAGCACCAGUUGGAAUUUGAGUUCAUCUUCCUACAUGGGUUAGUCUUUGCAAGGAAGAGCACUUGUGUGUCCAAAAUGACAAUCAUGAAGCUUAACAUAGAAUUUGUCAAGGAUAUGUUUGAAUGGUUUCGUGCUUCCUUGUCUUCAACCACCGUUGUGUAGAGACUUGGUGAUGUAGAGAUUGCACAAGAUGGGAAUGAGUUGCAAUCUCAUAGAUUUAGAUUCAUCCAAGUACCUACAAGGGUUAGAUAAUAUGCAAGGUGCAAAUAUAUCCAAGACAUAAGAUAGUCAUCAUAAGAGAAAUGUCAACGAUUAGUCAUAAGCUCAUGUCUUGCAUGUAUCCAAUGGAGUUCCUACUCCAAGUUUGAAGCAUCAAUGAUGUUCAAUUCACCUCUUAACCUGCAAAACACUCUCUCAUCAAGUGGUUUAGUGAAUAUAUCCGCUAAUUGCUUUUCGGUGCGAACAUGCUUAAGAUUAAUGUCACCCUUAGCAACAUGAUCGUGAAUGAAAUGAUGACGAACUUCAAUAUGCUUAGUUCGAGAGUGUUGCAUGGGAUUGUGAGCAAUCUUGAUAGCUCUCUCAUUGUCACAAAGUAAUGGAACAUGUUUCACAUAUAUCCCAUAAUCCUUAAGAGUUUGGGUCAUCCAAAGUAAUUGAGCACAACAUGAACCAGCGGCAAUGUGUUCCGCUUCGGCGAUGGAUAAGGAUACUGAGUUGUGUUUCUUGGAGGACCAAGACACAAGAGAUCUACCAAGAAAUUGACAAGUACCCGAAGUGGACUUUCUAUCAACCUUGUCACCGGCAUAGUCCGAGUCGGAGUAGCCAAUAAGAUCGAAAGAGGCCCUCUUAGGAUACCAAAUGCCAAAAUUUGGUGUAUGGAUUAAGUAUCUCACUAUCCCUUUCACGGCCUUAAGAUGACAUUCUUUAGGAGCAGCUUGAUACCGUGCACACAUGCACACACUUAGCAUGAUAUCGGGACGUGAAGCGCAUAGAAUAUAACAAUGAACCAAUCAUAGAGCGAUAAACUUUUUGAUCGACCAGUUCACCAUCUUUGGUCAAGUCAAGAUGUCCACUAGUAGGCAUGGGUGAGGUCAUACCUUUGCAUUCUUGCAUAUUGAACCUCUUGAAUAAGUACUUGGUGUACUUCGUUUGAUAGACGAAGGUACCUUCCUUAGUUUUCUUGAUUUGCAAACCAAGAAAGAAUUUGAGUUCACUCAUCAUAGACAUCUCAAACUUCUCCGACAUUAGCUUCCCAAAUUUUUCAGUAAAAUGAGGGUUAGUAGAACCAAAUAUAAUAUCAUCAACAUAGAUUUGGCACACAAAUAGUUCUCCAUUGACCCUUUUAGUAAAAAGAGUAGAAUCUAUUUUUCCAAUUUCAAAGCCUUUUUCAAUAAGGAUCUUGGUCAAGCAUUUAUACCACGCUCUAGGAGCUUGUUUAAGACCAUAAAGAGCUUUGUGAAGUUUGUAAACAUGAUAAGGUUUCUUAGGAUUAACAAAGCCGGGAGGUUGUUUAACAUAAACUUCCUCCUCUAUUUCACCAUUUAGAAAAGCACUUUUAAUGUCCAUUUGGUACAAGGUGAUAUCAUGGUGAUUAGCAUAGGCAAGUAAGAUGUGAAUGGACUCAAGUCUAGCAACGGGAGCAUAAGUCUCACCAUAGUCCAUACCUUCGACAUGUGUGCAGCCUUGGGCGACGAGACGUGCUUUGUUGCGAACUACUUGUUCAUCUUCAUCUUGCUUGUUGCGAAACACCCAUUUGGUACCGAUGAUGUUGUGCUUGUUGUCGGGCUUCUCAACCAAUGUCCAAACUUGAUUUCUCUCAAAGUUGUGUAGCUCUUCAUGCAUGGAGUUUAUCCAAUCCAGAUCUUCCAAUGAUUCCAACCUUCAUAGGUUCAAUGCUAGAGAUGAAUGAAUAGUGUUCACAAAAGUUAGCUAAACAAGUUUAGAGCGAGUGAUUCUCCCGGCUUGGAUAUCAUUGUAGAUUUGCUCGACGGGAUGGUCUUUAGCAAUUCUUGCUCGAACUCGUGAGAGCUUUUGCUUGGGUCUUGGUUGAAUAUCUUCUUCAUCUUGUUCUUCUUCUUGGCCUUCUUCAUUGUUGGCGUUGUCGUUCUCUUGUCGUGGUGGAGAAGGAGGUUGUUGACGUUCAUCUUGGUGCGCUUCCUCGUUUCCUUCAUCUUGGUGUGUCCCACUUGUUGAUGCUUCCGUAUCAAUUCUUGGUUCACCUUGUCGUGAGGUAGAAGCUUCCACUUGGACAGACGAGGUACUCUCCUUCACCUCCGUUGGACGAAUCUUCCAAUAGACAAAUCUUGGAUUGCUUCCGAAGGAUCUUUGUCUCCUACAUCAAUUGGCAGUUUCUCUACUUGCGAGCCGUUAGAUUCAUCAAACUUCACAUCUACCGUUUCUUCAACCUUUCGGGUGAAAUUGUUGUAGACACGGUAUGUGUGAGAGUUUGAGCCAUAACCAAGUAGGAAACCCUCAUGAGACUUAGGAGCAAAUUUAGAACAACGAUGCUUAUCAAGAAUGUAGCACUUUGAGCCGAAUACUCGAAAGUAUCCAACUUGGGGUUUGUUACCGGUGAGAAGCUCGUAUGCCGUCUUGCCGAGUAGCUUGUGAAGAUACAAGCGGUUUGUUGCAUGACAAGCUGUCUCAACCGCUUUCGUCCAAAAGUGCUUCGGCGUCUUGUACUCAUCAAGCAUCGUUCUCGCCAUUUCGAUGAGCGUCCGGUUCUUCCUCUCAACAACUCCAUUUUGUUGAGGUGUGUACGUAGCCGAGAACUCAUGUGAAAUUCAUUCUUCAUCAAGAAAGGUGUCCACAUUUGCGUUCUUGAACUCCGUUCUGUUGUCUCUGCGAACCUUCUUGGUCUUCACUUCAAAUUGAUUUUGGGCCUUCCUAGAGAAGUUUUUGAAGAUCUUUUGGACCUGCGAUUUAUCAUCGAGAAAGAACACCCACGUAAAUCUUGAAAAAUCAUCAACUAUAACUAGACCAAAAGAAUUUCCACCGAGACUUUUGUAGGCGUUGGGACCAAAGAGAUCCAUGUGAAGUAGCUCGAGUGGCCUCCUUGUGGUCAUGAUGUUCUUCACGGGAUGCCUUCCUCUAACCUGUUUACCUGGCUGACAAGCACUGCAAAGUCUAUCCUUAUCAAAUAUGACAUCGUUAACACCAAGGAUAUGAUUUCCUUUAAUAAGCUUGUCAAGGUUUCGCAUACCAACAUGACCUAAUCGUCUAUGCCAUAACCAACCUUUAGAGGAUUUAGCAAUAAAGCAAGUUCUAGGUUGAUCCUUUUUAGUGGAAUCAACAAUGUAUAGAUCACCUCUACGUACACCGGUAAAGACCAUUUUAUGAUUAUCUCUACAAAACACUUGGCAGUCUACUUCAGUAAGUAGGACAUUGAAACCGAAAUCAGCAAGUCUAGAUACUGAAAGUAAGUUGUAGCCAAGAGAUUCAACGAGCAUGACAUUUUGUAUGGAGCUAUCAUGUGAUAUGGCCACCUUAUCGAGGCCAACCACCUUACCCUUUGAGUUGUCACCGAAAGUGACAUACUUUCGAGGACCAUCGUUUUCAGCAAGCUCACGAAACAUGUCUUUAUCUCCGAUCAUGUGAUCGGUACAUCCACUAUCAAGAACCCAUUCCUUUCCUCCUGCCAUAUAUCCCCGAAGAUUUGCCAUAAGCCCAAAGUGUCUCAUUGCAUCAUCAAGAUCGAAGUCACUAUCAUCAUCCUCAUCAUAGUAUCCAUGUUCAACAUCGUCAUGUGGUGGAUCAUAUCCUAGAGAGGGUAAUUCGUCAGAGUGAUUUUGAUAAUGAUCUUGCUUAUGAAUUUUUAUAGCUUCGGAAAUAAUAUCACUAAUAAUUCCAACAUCUCCUUUGGCACGCAUAACGUUUGUAAGCUCAAACAAACAAUCACCAAACAUAGGAUCACUAGAAUUCAUCUUACUCAAGGCAAUAGACUUAUGAAGAAUUUCAUCAAGAUUUUUCAGGGAAUAAUUUGGAAAGCGUUCCACAAGAAAUUCCCAUAUGGUGUAGGCACACUUAAGAGUAGGCAAACAUCCAAUCAAGUUUCUAGGCAAGCCUCUAAUGAUAAGUUUGGCAGUUCUAAGAUUGUGAAUCAUGUCAAUUGACUCAUCAAGGGUAGGAUGCAUAGGAUCAACAUGAGGUGCACAAGGGCUAGCAAUGUACUUGUUCAAAUGAUAUUGAUUGAAAAUCAUAAGCAUCUCAUUUUUCCACUCAUGAAAGUACUCUCCAUCAAGAAUAGACACUCUAUGUCUAAGACUCCCAAUAGUAGACUCAUCCAUCUUCCUCCAAUGGUGUUUAAACCAAAGCAAUGGACACCAAAGCUCUGAUACCAAUUGAAAGGGAUCGAGAAGAGGUGUCUAGAGGGGGGUGAUUAGACACUAAGUACCAAAAGUUGCAGUUUUUAACUUCUUUAAGUUGGAGUGGAGUUUAGGCACAAGUUUAACAAUCACAACACAUAUCAAGGAAGCAUGCAAAGAGUAUAUGAGCAGCGGAAAGUAAAGCAUGCAACUUGCAAGAAUGCAAAGGGAAGGGAUUGGAGGAUUCAAACGCAAUUUGGAGACAUGGUGAUUUUUGAGCCGUGGUUCCGAUAGGUGGUGCUAUCGUACAUCCAUGUUGAUGGAGACUUCAACCCACGAAGGGUAACGGUUGCGUGAGUCCACGGAGGGCUUCACCCACGAAGGGUCCACGAAGAAGCAACCUUGUCUAUCCCACCAUGGCCGUCGCCCACGAAGGACUUGCCUCACUAGCGGUAGAUCUUCACGAAGUAGGCGAUCUCCUUGCCCUUACAAACUCCUUGGUUCAACUCCACAAUCUUGUCGGAGGCUCCCAAGUGACACCUAGCCAAUCUAGGAGACACCACUCUCCAAGAAGUAACAAAUGGUGUGUUGAUGAUGAACUCCUUGCUCUUGUGCUUCAAAUGAUAGUCUCCCCAACACUCAACUCUCUAUCAUAGGAUUUGGAUUUGGUGGAAAGAAGGUUUGAGUGGAGAGCAACUUGGGGAAGGCUAGAGAUCAAGAUUCAUAUGGUAGGAAUGGAAUAUCUUGGCCUCAACACAUGAGUAGGUAGUUCUCUCUCAGAAAAUGUAUGCUGGAAGUGUAGGUUCGUUCUAAUGGCUUUCUCCAUGAAUGAAGAGGAGGUGGAGGGGUAUAUAUAGCCUCCACACAAAAUCUAACCGUUACACACAACUUGCCAAACUCGGUGGGACCGAAUUGAUAAACUCGGUCGGACCGAUUCAGCAAAUCUAGUGACCGUUAGGAUUUUCGGUGGGACCGACAUGCAACUCGGUAGGACCGAUAUGGUUAGGGUUAGGGCAUAACGUAAUCUCGGUGAGACCGAUUACACAAACUCGGUGGGAAUGAUUUUGGUAAUAAGCUAACUAGAGAGUUGGUCAGGCAAACUCGGUUUGACCGAUUACACAAACUCGGUUGGACCGAUUUUGGUAAUAAGCUAACCAGAGAGUUUGCAUUGUAAUCUCGGUAGUACCGAUUGCUCAAACUCGGUGAGACCGUUUUUGGUAAUGGACAUACACAGAGAGAUUACAAUCCCAUCUCGGUGAGGCCGAGAUCCCUAUCGGUAGCACUCUUUUGUUUCUGCUUAUGUUAUGCAUUGCUUAAACUUACUUGCUUCUUUAUCGUCCUGUUCAGCUCUUGGACUCCCAAGUCAGGUCCAAAUUAAUGUUCAAACUUGAGUUCUAAAUUAGUUGUGGGGCACAUAUCGAGGCAGCAAUGAAUAUGUCUGUCUAAUAUCUGGUUCGCCUAGGGUAUGCCUAUGUUGUUCAUCUUGGGUGGGAAACAAAUAGUAAAGCAAUCAUCAUUUGUCUUUAUUAAUUUAAAGCAAUCAUCAGCCUGCUAUUAUUAUUUUUGGAUCCAUCCACUGGUUGUUACCAUCACUCUAAAUUUCAGCAUGCUCUCCUUACAUAAUCUCACCAUAUUUUUUCGUAUGCAUGUCAGAUAUUGUACACAGUCAUGCUGAACAUGUAGAGAAUAGGAGAAGAGUUUUGCACGGCAAUAGAAUGUCAUGCAGACAUCGCUCCAUGGUGGGUUCAAUGGCAAACCCUCCCCACCCCUCUCCAGAUUGUAAUUCAUAGGAAGAUAUCUGUUCUGAGGCGGAUUCAGACGCCGCUGACCACUCCUAUUUACCCCCCGAGGUGUUUGAUCUACCUUGGCAUGAUGAUGUUAGUCAUAUCAUGCAUAUGUUGCCUUGCAGUGCCUACUUUUGACAUCAUAUAUGUUAUCUGCUUAGUUUAGACAUGUUUUUAAUGCCACCUGUUUAGUUUCUAUAUCAUAUAUGGGAAUUAUGCAGUCUCAUGUCUUUUAGCCAGCCAUAAUAUAUGUGAAAUGUGCAAUGCCAUCCUGUUUAACCAGGCAUCAUAUAUUUGAAUGAUAUCUUGCCCAUCCUUUUCUUCAUUACAUUUCCAUUUGUCGACAAUGUUUGUACAUUAAACUACUCUUCCUGUGAAUCAGCCAUUUGGGUGGGAGAUGGAAAAAUCUAGAGUGAAAACAAGGCCUUCAGAGCAAACAGUGCUACCUAUCGAAGCAGAUCUCUUGUUGGGUCCCGAUAGCUCCUCAGAGAUGGAUUCAGAGAUAGAUGACCAGUCCUAUUCCCCCACUGAGGUGUAUGCUCUAACUUGGCACGGUUAUACUGCUCAUAUCAUGCAUACGGUGUCUUGCAUUGCAUAGUUUAGACAUCAUAUACACAAUAUUCAACACCAUGUUCUUAGUUCAAACAUCAUAUCGAAUGCCCUCUGUUUAGCAUAUAAAUCACAUAUGUGAAUUAAAUGAUGCGAUCCUGAUUACUUAGAUAACAUGUAGGUGAAUUAUGUCAUGCGAGCAUGUUUAGUUAUUCCUCAUAUCUUUGAAUUUUUUAUGCUAUGCUAUCCAGUUUAGAUAGACAUUAUAUAUGUGAAAUUAUGUCAUGCUAUCCGUUUUAGUUAAACAAUAUACAUGUCAACAUUUCAUGCCCUCUUUUUUCCACACUAUCUAUUGCAUCUAUCUCUCAUACAAUGUCUAUACAUUCAACUAUGUUUCCUAUUUAUCAGCCAUUUGAAUUGGAGCGGGUGGUGCCAGUAUCUAGCAGAGUAAAAACACGGUCUUCGAAUAAAACAGUGCUACCUCUUGGUGGAGAUAGCACCCAGUUGUACAUGCAUAAGAACCAGCCCUACCACACAUAACCCAAACUCUCGCAGAUUGUACCCCUACUGCGAUGGACAGAGAACCAUCUUCACCCAAUCUAAUCCCAACCCCAGCCGAUAGUAACCCAGUUCCUAUUGACACAGCUUCAUCUCCACCAUAGAGCUCCCAAACAAGAGCAGUUAGUAAGGCAGCACUAGUGCCCAAAGGGCCAGUACUAUCACGCAAACCCCAACUCCACCAGUUAGUACGCCUAUUCCUGUGGAGGAAGCACAACUAGCUAGUCGUACUUUAGCAUCUAUCGCAUUUGAUGUUGUUAAAUCGUAUGUGCCUAUCUUCCCAUCUUGGAAAUAUUAUACUGAAGAUGAAGGAAAAUGCCAGUUGCAGGUGUUUUUCCAGGAGUUAUGUGUAAGUAAUGUUAUUCAUGGCAAUUACUUUGCUUCGUCCCAUAAUCCUACCUCCAUGAUGGUUAUAAUGCAACAAAUUUUCCCAUUUUUCUCUAUAGAGAAGAACCGAUUUGGAAACUCAAGAUGAGGUAACCUGUGCUAAUACCUCUGCUAUCUUCAAGAAUGCUUGUUGGCAGUAUCAGAAUUACCUGAAGAAAACAUACUUCACCGGCAAAGAAACUCAUCAAAAUCCCUAACGUUCUCCUGAGACACAUUUACUGGACGAUGACUGGGAACGCCUUGUUCUAUACUGGUCCCAAACCAAGAAUGUGGUAAGGUCUAUCAGCUCAUUUUCUAUUUUUAAGUAUUAUAUUCUUGCGUCUUACUGUACUCUGUUCAUGUAGAACAAGUGCCUAAACCUGAAGAACAACUGUUCUAAUUUAAGAUUCCAUUGCUAUCAUAGUUCAAAAAACCGCUAGGCGUUAAUUGUGCAUUUUGCCACCGCCUUGCGCUUUACUGACCAAAGCGCAUGCUUAUGCGCAGUUAUGCACAGAUUAAGCAUAGUUAUGCGCAAUGCAUUUUGCCAAUGCCUAGAGCCUAGGCGCGCUUAAGCGCUCGCUUAGGCGCGCCUUUUUUAACUAUGAUUACUUUGCUCUUGUAUCACUAUAUUUACUGAUACAAACUUAUUUUUAAAUUGAAGGAUCCAAUCGAAACUCCAAUGGCACAAUAGGUAUGUUCACGCAUGUUUGUUUAACAGGUUUGCUCUUAUCAAUAGCUCUUUUGAUUUCAAUUUCAAUUGUGUAUACAGUUGACUUUCAUAUCAUGCACAUUACUAGCAUCACAACAGAGCCAAUAGUGUUGUUGUACAUGUAGACCUGUGGUACCCAUCUGAAAUCUUGUUGUGCCGUGUAGUUUCCCACGCUUUGUAUUCUUUCACCGGUGCUUUGUCUUGAACUGAUAUGAUUUGAACCGUGUCUCUAUUUUGAUUUGGCAAGACAAUGCAGUGACCAUAGGACAUAGAUAUAUGUUUGUUUGAUGCUUUUAUUAUGUACUAGUACUUGGCAAUAGAAGACUUGGUAGUUUAAUCCUGUCCACCUUACUAAUGAACUGGUUCGCCGAAAUGAGUUUCAUAUACUAGCACAUGCUAAACUUGUUAUGUGUCUGCUUGUUUCUUCUUUUAGAAUGCUGAUAGAAUAUUGGGGAAGAGUGCCUUAUUAAGCAAUGGUAAAGGAAGUAAUGCAGAUAAGGUUCAGGAUAGUGACACAUCCUUGUUGGUCUCCAACAAAGCUGAUAAAACAGCUAAGGAAGACUAUCUUGAAGACAGCGAGACAACCCCAAAGUCCUGUCUUGGUUUAGUGUUCGAGUUACUGGCCACUACCGCUUGCACAAGCUAUUCAAACUGACUGUCUGAAUCAGUUCGGUUUCUCGAGUCUCAACUAAAAGCUGAAAGACAUCGAUCAGUUGUGCUGCGACAAGAAGCGGAAGGACUGUGGAAGCCCCUGGAGCAUCAGAUGCAUACUUUCUGGUGCAACAGCAAGCGUUGCAGGAUUUUAGCACCAAACAGGACAAAGCUAAUCAGCUUGCUAAGCUUAUUGCCAGCAUGGUGGAUACCCAGGAUAACGUUUCUUGAGCUCUUCUGAAGUUGUUUCAGUUAUGCUCUUGUUUUGCUGCUGCGUUUAUUUGCACUGGUGGCCAAUUUUGAUGGCCAGUGUAUGUAAUAUGCUGCUUUGUUCCCUAUAUUUGCACUGGUGGCGAACUUUGAUGCCCAGUGGAUGUAAUAUGUGUAAUAGCGGUAAUAGGCUAGCGUUGAUUGCUUGCUUAUUUAUUUCCUUAUUGUCUUGUUUAGUUGUUUGCUUGUAGUCAUUGUAGUUCUUUUUCUGUGUUUUUCUAGUGGCCACAAUAGCCUAUUUUUGGUAACUAGGCCAAAAUAAUCAUGGCAACACACGGACUGUUGUAACCAUGGGCCUCCUGCAGGCCGUAUGAUCCAUGGGCCUUCUUCCGGCCGUAGGAUCCAUUGGCCUUCUAUACGGGCCGUAGGAUCCAUUGGCCUUCUAUACGGGCCUUAGGGUCCAUGGGCCUUCUACGGGCCGUAGGGUCCACGGGCCUUCUACGGGCCAUACGACCCAUGGGCCUUCUACGGGCCGUAGAUCCAUGGGCCUCAUACGGGCCGUAGAUCCAUGGGCAUUCUACGGGGCGUAUCAUCAUUUCGCCAAUCAUGGGCUAUACAAUUCGUGGACCAUAAUGGGCCGUUAAUAGACCGUAUUUGAUAACUCUAUGAAAACAGCCCAACAUUUUUUACAUGAAAACGGUCCAACGUAUUAACGGUCCGAAAACGGGCCGACUGUAACGACAGGCUGAAUUUGGCCCACAAGCAGAAAAUGACAGUAACGGGUCGUAUGUAACCAAAUGCUACAAAUAAGCCCAAGAAUCAAUGGGCCCUGAGAAGGCCAAAAGAUAACUUGGGCUGGAAAUAGCCCAAUAGAAUAACGGGCCGUUAAUGGGUAUAAAGUGAUACAUUGUUCAUUACGGGCCAGUUUCACCACGGGCCGUUCAUGGGCCAAGAGUUACAAAGGGCCUCAUAUGGGCCGAAAGAAGUCAUGGGCCACACAUGGGCCGAAAGUUAAAACGGGCUGGAAUCAUAUUGGACGGCCCAGAUGACGCUACUGGGCCUAAUUCGGAUAAGGCGUAACGGGCCCUGGGUUAGCGGGCUGUAAAUGGGCUUGAUGACCCACAAGCAUAGGGGAUCUAUCGUAGUCCUUUCGAUAAGUAAGAGUGUCGAACCAAACGAGGAGCAAAAGGAAAUGAUAAGCGGUUUUCAGCAAGGUAUUCUCUGCAAGUACUGAAAUAAGUGGUAACAGAUAGUUUUGUGAUAAGGUAAAUUGUAACGAGCAACAAGUAACAAAAGUAAAUAAGGUGCAGCAAGGUGGCCCAAUCCUUUUUGUAGCAAAGGACAAGCCGGAACAAACUCUUAUAAUAGGAAAAGCGCUCCCGAGGACACAUGGGAAUAUCGUCAAGCUAGUUUUCAUCACGCUCAUAUGAUUCGCGUUCAGUACUUUGAUAAUUUGAUAUGUGGGUGGACCGGUGCUUGGGUGCUGUUCUUACUUGAACAAACAUCCCGCUUAUGAUUAACCUCUAUUGCAAGCAUCCGCAACUACAACAAAAGUAUUAAGGUAAACCUAACCAUAGCAUGAAACAUAUGGAUCCAAAUCAGCCCCUUACGAAGCAACGCAUAAACUAGGGUUUAAGCUUCUGCCACUCUAGCAACCCAUCAUCUACUUAUUACUUCCCAAUGUCUUCCUCUAGGCCCAAAUAAUGGUGAAGUGUUAUGUAGUCGACGUUCACAUAACACCACUAGAGGUUAGACAACAUACAUCUUAUCAAAAUAUCGUACGAAUACCAAAUUCACAUGACUACUAAUAGCAAGACUUCUCCCUUGUCCCUAGGAACAAACGUAACUACUCACAAAGCAUAUUCAUAUUCAUAAUCAGAGGGGUAAUAAUAUGCAUAAAGGAUCUGAACAUAUGAUCUUCCACCAAAUAAACCAACUAGCAUCAACUACAAAGAGUAAUCAACACUACUAGCAACCUACAAGCACCAAUCCCGGACUUGGAGACAAGAAUUGGAUACAAGAGAUGAACUAGGGUUUGGAGAUGAGAUGGUGCUGGUGAAGAUGUUGAUGGAGAUUUCCCUCUCCUGAUGAGAGGAGUGUUGGUGAUGAUGAUGGAGAUGAUUUCCCCCUCCCGGAGGGAAGUGUCCCCGGCAGAACAGCCCGAAGGUUCCGCCAAGGUUCCGCCUCGUGGCGGCGGAGUCUCAUCCCGAAAGGUUGCUUCUGAUUUUUUUCUCAUCGAAAGACUUCAUAUAGGAGAAGAUGGGCGUCGCAGAGCCACCAUGGGGCCCAUGAGGUAGGGGGGUGCGCCCAGGGGGGAGGGGCGCGCCCCCCACCCUCGUGAGCAGGGUGUGGCCCCCCUGGCCUUCAUCUUUGGCGACGAUUUUUCUUUAUUUAUUUUAAGAUAUUCCGUGGAGUUUCAGGACUUUUUGAGUUGCGCAGAAUAGGUCUCCAAUAUUUGCUCCUUUUCCAGCCAGAGUUCCAGCUGCCGGCAUUCCCCCUCUUCAUGGUAAACCUUGUAAAAUAAGAGAGAAUAGCCAUAAGUAUUGUGACAUAACGUGAAAUAACAGCCCAUAAUGCGAUAAAUAUCGAUAUAAAAGCAUGAUGCAAAAUGGACGUAUCAACUCCCCCAAGCUUAGACCUCGCUUGUCCUCAAGCGAAAAGCCGAUAACAAUAAAUAUGUCAUCGUGUUUAGAGGUAGAGGCGUCGAUAAAAAUAAAAUACGGACAUGAAGGCAUCAUGAUUAUUUCAUAACAGCAACAUAUAUAGAUUUUUCAUAUGAUUACUUAUAUUCAAGUGAUGAUCUUUUCACAAAGCCAAAGUAUGAAUAAUAAACCUUAUUGAGCACCAACAAUUAUAAUCUCAGUCAUUGAAGCAAUUGCAAUUUAUCAUAACAUCGGAAAGAGUCUAUGUCAGAGCUCAAAAGCAAGUCCACAUACUCAACUAUCACUUAGUCCUUCAUAAUUUCUAGCACUCACGCGAUACUUGUGGUUACGGAGUUUUAAUCGGACACAGAGAAAGAUAGGGGCUUAUAGUUUUGCCCCACAACUUUUUACCUCAAGGGUAAUGUCAACAAUAAUAAUUCACGCUCCCCCACAUCCAAUUAGACAUAUAUAUCAUGUUCUUUCCAACAUGUUGAGCUUGCCAAAGGAUAAAAUGAAAAAGGAAGGUGAAGAUCACCGUGACUCUUGCAUAAGGUAGAGGAAAAUAAUAAAUGAUAGGCCCCUCGCAGAGGGAAGCAGAGGUUGUCAUGCGCGUUUAGGGUUAAUGCACAAAAUCUUAAUGCAAAAGAACGUCACUUUACAUUGCCCCUUGCAUGUGAACCUUUAUUAUGCAGUCCAUCGCUUUUAUUGUGUCCACAACAAGUUCGUGCAAAGUUUAUUUUCUCCGCGCUAAUAAAUCAUGCAUAUUUAGAGAGCAAAUUUUAUUGCUUGCACCGAUGACAACUUACUUGAAGGAUCUUACUCAAUCCAUAGGUAGAUAUGGUGGACUCUCAUGGCAAAACUGGUUUAAGGGUAUUUGGAAGCACAAGUAGUAUUUCUACUUAGUGCUAAGAAUUUGGCUAGCAUGAGGGGGAAAGGCAAGCUCAGCAUGUUAGGAGAUCCAUGACAAUAUACUUUAUCUCACAUAUAAGAAAACAUAACUCAUUAUGUUGUCUUCCUUGUCCAACAUCAACUCUUUAGCAUGUCAUAUUUUAAUGAGUGCUCCCAAUCAUAAAAGAUGUCAAUGAUACCACAGAUAAGCUCGGGCAUGUUGUUGCACAACAACCUCAUUGGCAUCUGAAGGCAUACUAUUCUCUCUCCACUCAGAGCCAAUGAUGCAACACUUUCUCACUGUCACGCUCGUCUUCUUCAGGAGGCACGGGGAAAACACCUGUCAAUUGGCCAACACGAUCUUGCCAAUUAGCAGUUACGACGGUGCCGGUCAAAGCUUCUCCAUUGAUUGGAAGGCCACUGAUCAUUGCCAUGUCCUCCAAGGUCACGGUCAUCUCUCCACAUGACAAGUGGAACGAAUGUGUCUUUGGCCUCCAACGGUCAAUAAGUGCGGUCAUCGCCCCGUGGUUGAUCGAUGGAGCGUGGCGCAUGAACUGAAGCACAAAUGGGAGAAGGCCCAAUCUCUUGAAGUAUGGCUCAUACCACUCGUCGCACGGCCAGUCGUGGGCACUAUGACCCCUCACGCGCAUAGGUUUUAGUUCCUGCAAAAUAGCAUUGCAUUAUGGUUAGUGACUAGCAAAAAUGAAAAGUAAUAACCAAGAAUUCAAAUAGAUUGAGUCUUACCCGGUGAUUCUCAAUGUCCCGCGCGUGAUGCCCUUUGUCAUACCCUUUAUGUGGACCGUCGUACCAACAUUCACCCACCAUCCUACAUAUCAAGCAUGAACGAAUGAAAUAUACAUAACACUAUAUAACAUCCUACAUAUCAUAUAUUUGGCAAAACAACAUCAACAUAAAUGCAUAUCUCAAUGGCAACAUAACAAAACCAAUUAUCUAUAUAUGAAAAAAUCUCAAUGCCCAGGGCAACAUAUCUCAAUGUCAAGAUAACAAGACCAAUUAUCUAUAUAUGACAAAAUCUCAAUGGCAACAUAUCUCAAUGGCAACACAACAUAACAAAUCUCAAUAUAACAUCCUAAUUGUAUGACCGUAUCUCAAUGAGAAUCAAGCAUACAAAAUACACAAAUUAAUUAGAUUCUCUUUCAAGCUAUCAUCUAUCUAAAUCCAUAUACAUAGCAACAAAAAUUAAAAUGCCCAAUCCUACCACAAAUGCCUUGUCUUCUCAAUCCAGCCAUAUAAACACAUGCCUUCUCUUCUAAAGUAUACAUCAUACCCACAUGACCAAGCCAUGGGCUCCCCUUUCUCAAAAAAUUUUAAACAAAACGAAUCCUAGAGUUCCAACAAGUAUGAAUUAAUGCCGCAAAAAUAAUAGUUUCCAACCAAAAAUAAUUGGAGGAACCGAUGGAGAGUACCUCAACGAAGAUGGGGGACUCGGAUCUGCACUUUUGAUGAAGAAAAUAGCCGAUUUGGGGUGAUUUGGCUGAGGGGAGGAGAGAAGCACAGCUUCUGUAGGGCGCCGCCGCGAGGAGGAACACGCCUCAUGCGUCUUGGGGUGGGUUGGGCUGCACCCGAGCCGGCUCGGGCUGGUUUACUGCUAUUCAGGGAUAAACGCGAGGGGUCAUGGCGUUUACCCCUUUGCCACGUCGAACAGUCAAAGUGGCAGACCAGGGAGGUGGACCAGGCCUAAACGCCGUCGUCCUUGGCGUCUUCAGUGCAAGCAGAACGCCGUGGAUGUUGGCAUCUCAGUUUGGGUUAGAUCCAGAAAAUGUUUCAAACACGGGUCAAAUCGUGCUAAACUUCGAGAGAGGGGUCAGAACAGUGAAAAAGUCCGCCAAGUCAUCGCCCAUCCAUCCAUCCAUCCCGUAACAUACACUCAACCAUCACAAGAUACACACCAUCGGGUAUCACGAGCUCCAUCAAUGCACCACCGCCGUACACCGUGAAACAAGUAUAUUACACUAAAAAAAGUAUAUUAAGAGUAAUACCCACGCCCGUGCGUCGACUGUUCCGUGUUGCGCUGGAUAAACAAAAAAUCUCCACCAGCACAGAGCCGACCAGUGUAUCGGAUCUAGCAACUUUGCGGAUUUACUAACCCCUGCACGAACUGCCCACCGGUGUGCAAAUGUCUGUUUAACACCACGACUAUGCAUUAGUACCUGUCAUCAAACACUAACGGUCAAACUAUAAAAAAAUUAGCCACACUGCAUCAUCAAUCAAUGUUUGUAAGCAAGUAUAAUCUCACAAGUUUCAACAUGGCAAUAGGUACCCGCAAGCCGCGAACCCGACGGGUAAAAACCCUAUUAGGUAAGGGUUUGGAAAAAAUAAAUACACAUGGGUUUAUAAAUGGACAAAAAAUUAUAACCAUCGGGUACGUUGGGUAUGGGUAUGGGAAGGCAAUAACCAUACCACGUACUCGCAUACCCGCGUACGAAAAUACAACCCUAGCCUGGACCAAAAAUCCCCUCCCCUUACCCAUGUGCAUGAUCUUAAUUAAACACAUCGAUCUUAUUUUGUGAACUCACGAUUUUUCUCUGAUUUUGUUAUUUUUAUUAUAGUCUCCUUCAUUUGAUCAUUUUACAGUAGGGGCUGCAGAAGUAACUUCAACAAAAGAAAAUUAUAGGAAAUUGUGUCGCUCUUGUUUGUUUUGUAAUUGGAAAAAAGAAGAAAGAACAUAUGUGAAUGUUUCUCUAAGAAGUUCACUUACAUAUGUGAUUGUUUGGUGCCACAUAGUUCAUACUUAUUGCUAUCCACUUUUUUAAAUUCAUACCAUUUUUUAUUCCAUCGCACAACAAAUCGUGAUAUGCAUGUGCUGAAAUGCUAAAAUGUGGUCUAUAUUUGUUGAAAUUUUGAAGUACACAUGCUGAAAUUUUGUGUAUAUAUGCUAACAUGCUAAAAAACACGAUGAAGUGUGAAUUGGGUAAGGUGGCCGAGAUGGGUAUUUUUACCCAGGGUAUUACUUGCACCCGGACCACCGGACAGGUACGGGUUAUGGAACAAUUUGAAACCCGAGGUGCGGGUACGGGUACGGGUUUGUGAAAAUAUUGAGGCGGGUAGGGGUUUGGGAGACCAUUACCCGCGCCCGAACCCGGCGGGGGUUAUGUUGACACAAGUUGCAAUACAGAACUUAUAUUUAACCAUGGGUGCUAUAAAAAGCAGUUCAGCAUAUCACUGGGGGUACUCACAUGUAAAAUGAGCAUCAACAAUUCCAGAAUUGGAAAACAUUCAUUAGCAGUUCAGGAUAAUGUGCGGGUAAAAAAAUUAGCCCCAUCAACAUCAAUCCAUGUUUAUAAAUUAUAACCAACUAAUCUCACAAGUUAUAUUCCAUCCCAUACUACUUUUUUUUGGCAGGAAUAUUGGCUCAGCAUAGUACCUAGAGUGCAUACAAAAUGAGCUGCACAUCAUCAAUCUUGGAAGGAUACUCACAGAUUGCCUUCCAAAAGUUGAAAACACACAUUGGAAUGCAGGAUGCAUCCAAAUGAGCAGGAAUGAUGCUCUUUCAACAGAAAUUCAAAUGGUUUGAAAUUCCAAUUCAGACUCAUUUGAAGUUUCUUACUCAAAUUAUUUUUCUCCUAAAUAUUGAUAUAUGGAAAUGAGGGUAAAAUGAUUUCCUUCAAUGCAAAAUUAGGAGAAAAUAAAUUUGAAAUCACUUUGAUAUUUAAAAAUUUGUUUUUAUUGGUUUUUAAUGCAACAGUAGCACUAUUUGACUUUUAUGAAUUUUUCUAGAUCUCAUUUGGACUUGGAAAAUAGUUCAUCUUUUUGUCUGUAUUUUUAUGAACAUCUUGAUAUAUUAUAUUGUAAGUGCAUCUAGUGCUCCUUAGUGAUUUUGGUGUAUUGAAGACAUAUAGGUUAAGGGAAUAAUGUGUUUGUGAGUGUACACAUGCUCCAUAAGUCGAUGAGGAGUUUGAUAUUUACGAUGAAAGUCAACCCCUAAAAAUGUAUGUCUUCAGCUGAAGACUUUGGUUCUCCUGAAGAUUUUUGAAAGUGAAGAAAUUGGUGUGACCUUGAAGACUUGGAUAUUCAUGCGAGGAUUAUGAAGCAUGAAGACUUUUGUAUUCGUAGUUUCAUUUUCUCUUUCUUGAGUCAUAGAAAAUACCGUACUAUUAAAGGGGGUCGAGGUAAUACUAAGGAAAGUGAUUUCCAAGUGAUGCUCAUCUCAAAAUCCUACAACUACCCAAUCCUUUCGAGUGAAGCCAUUGGAAAUCUCAUAUCAGUUCAGUAAAUUUCUUCAGUGACAAAGAUGAAGAUCUUCUGGUCUUUGAGGAAUUUGUUCUGACUGAGGAGUUAUGAAUUCACCACUUCGGAUUGCCUACACAGUGAGGAACAUGAUAGCCUCGAGGAAUUUGAACCUCAAAUCCGACCGUUGUUGUGCUAUGCGCCAGCUGUCCCGAAAUAUCUACCCACCUAACGGUCAUAUCAUUGAAGAUCAUUUAUGUCUUAUCAUGUUGGGAUGCUCCCUAGGCUAUAAAUAGCCACCCCCUAGAACCACUAGCUGGUUGGCUGCUCCGAGAGAAAUUGACACUUGUCAUUGAGAGCAUCCCAUCCUCCAAGGACUUUGAGCAAAAAUCAUCAAGUGAGGAAAACCCAAGCACCUACAAACCCAAAGUGAUUGAGCAUCGCUGAAGGGAUUGUUCCUGUAUGGAAUCGACGCUUGUUACCUUUGAGGACUGUGUAUCUUCCAGACGGUUAGGCGUCAUGGUCUGAGCAUCCAAGAGGAAUUGUGGAUCACCGAGUGACCAAGUCUGUGAAGGUUUGGAAGUCACCUAAAGACUUAGCACGAGUGAUUGGGCGAGGUCUGUGUGACUUUAGCUCAAGGAGAAUACGAUGAGGACUGUGUGUCCUUGGGUUUAAAUACCCAGUCGCUCCAACCAGACAUACAACUGUCACAACAGUUGGAACUGGUAUACCAAAUCAUUGUCUUCACCAAGCCAACUAGUUCUAUUUCCUCAACCCUUCAUGUGUUGAUGAACCUGAUCAUUACUGUUUGAAGACUUUCUCUAUUUCCUCUAUCCUAAUUCUUCAGUCACAUAGUCUUCAGCAUGCUUAUCCUGUUUUCAUGCUAUCUGUACUCUGUGCUUGUUUUCAUUUCAUCAUGAUGACUGUGUUGUUGCUCUGUUAUGCUUAUACCUGAGUACUUAUUCCACUUCUAGUGUGUCAUUGCUUAGGAAUUUUUUCACCUAGAAAUUCCUCAGUGACGAAUUUGUAAAAAUCAUCUAUUCACCCCCCCCCUCCAGUCGAUAUAACGCACUUUCAUAUAUGCAUUAUAAUAUAAUUUAUUUUAUUUUGUUUAAUUCUAUUUUGCUUGUGUGUAUUCUAUUAUCAAAACAAAUAAAUCGGAUUCCACCUGUGCUCGGCCUUCCUUCCCUGAUUUCUUUUCGAUCGGGCGCCCGCCCCUUCUUAAUUUGUUUUGCUCGCUUCUAUGUCGGACCCACCCGCCCGCCCAAGCGAUUCGCGUGCUCACUUUCCUCUUCCUCCCCUCCUUCGUUACUUCACCGGACCACCGCUAGAGUCAGAUCCCCUCACCGCUUCCUUGCCUUUCUGGAGUGGACCCCUCCUCCAUGCCUACUCCCUAUAAAGCCUAGCCCCUCCCCGAUUGAUUUUGCCCUAAAACCCUAAUCAGUACCCCCUAUCACCACCGCAUUUGCUCACCGGAGUUCCAAGCCAUCAUCGCACCAUUGAUGCUUCCCCAAGCUUCCUCCGACCACCCGACGCCCCCUGACGCCACCCCUGCACUCCCCUCGCUCCCAUGCAUCCUUGAUGUCUGCUAGAACUACGUCGGUAUUUCCCCAAAGAGGAAGGGAUCAUGCAGCACAGCGAUGGUAGGAAUUUCCCUCAGUGAUGAGAUCAAGGUUAUCGGACUAGAAGGACAACCACGCAACACAACGUAAACAGCUCCUACACACAAAUAACAAAUACUCGCAACCCGACGUGUUAAUUGUCAAUCCCUUUCUGCUAGCGGCGCCAGAAAUUGGCAAGUGGACGGGAGAAAGUUGUAAUAGAUUGGAUAAAUAGAUCUCAAAUAAAAUUAAGUGCAGCAAAGUAUUUUUUGUAUUUUUCGUUUAAUAGAUCUGAAAAUAAAAGCAAAUAAAAAUAGAUCGUGAAGUCAAAUAUAUUAAACAAGAGACCCGGGGGCCGUAGGUUUCACUAGUGGCUUCUCUCGAGAGAAAUAGCAAACAGUGGGAAAAAAAUUACUAUUGGGCAAUUUAUACAACUUCGAAUACUCAUGACGAUAUCCAGGCAAUGAUCAUUAUAUAUGCAUCACGUUCAAGAUUAGUAGACCAACUCCUGCGUGCAUCUACUACUAUUACUCCACGCGUCGACCGCUAUCCAGCAUGCAUCUAGUGUAUGAAGUUCAUGGAGAAAUAGAGUAAUGCAAUAAGAACGAUGACAUGAUGUAGACAAGAUCUAUUUAUGUAGAAAGAGACCUCGCCUUUUUAUCCUUAAUAGCAACGAUACAUACGUGUCGGUUCCCCCUCUGUCACUGGGAUCAAGCAUCGUAAGAUCGAACCCAUCACAAACACCUCUUCCCAUUGCAAGAUAAAUAUGGCCAAACAAAACCCAAAUAUCGGAGAAGAAAUACGAGGAUAUAAGCAAUCAUGCAUAUAAGAGAUGAAAAGAUUCAAAUAACUUUCAUGUAUUAAAACGUAGAACUGAUCAUAAACUCAAAGUUAAUCAGGUCCCAACAAACACACCGCAAAAAGAGAUACAUCAUAUGGAUCUCCAAGAGACCAUUGUAUUGAGAAUCAAACAAGAUAGAGAAAGCCAUCCAGCUACUAACUACCGACCUGUAGGUCUACAAUGAACUACUCACGCAUCAUCGGAGAGGCACCAAUGAGGAUGAUGGACCCCUCCGUGAUGGUGUCUAGAUUGGAUCUGGUGUUUCUUGAACUUGCGGCGUCUGGAAUUGAUUUUCGUCGACUCCCCUAGGGUUUCUAGAAUUGAGGUAUUUAUAGAGCAAAGAGGCGGUGCGGGAGGCCACCGAGGUGGGCACAACCCACCUGGGCGCGCCUGGACCCCGAGAGCGCCCUGGUGGGUUGUGCUCCCCUUGGGGCAACCCUUUGGUACUUCUUUGGCGCAACAGGUGUCAUCUGGUUCAGAAAAAAUCUACAAAAUGUUUAGCUGCAUUUGGACUUUGUUCGGUAUUUAUUUCGUGCGAUGUAAAAAACAAGCAGAAAACAACAACUGGCACUUGGCACUAUGUCAAUAGGUUAGUACCAAAAAUGAUAUAAAAUGAUUGUAAAACAUCCAAAAUGAUAAUAUAACAACAUGGAACAAUCAAAAAUUAUAGAUACGUUGGAGACGUAUCAGCAUCCCAAGCUUAAUUCCUGCUCAUCCUCGAGUAGGUAAAUGAUAAAAACAAAAAUUUUGAUGUGGAAUGCUGCCUAACAUGUUCAUCACAUAUUCUUUUCUUUGUAGCAUGGACAUUUGGACUUUUAUAUGGUUCAAACCAAUAGUCUAAUUUUGACAUGAAGACUUUAAUACUCAAGCAUAUCAACAAGCAACCAUGUCUUUAAAAAUAUCAAUGGUAAAGCAAGUUAUCCCUAGCCCAUUAUACCCAGUCAUUGAUCCAUUCAUGAAACACACUCGAAUACUAGCUAUACCCAAUGCUCAAGUACGAUCAUAGUGCCCCUUAGUUGGUGCUUUAUAAGAGAAGAUGGAUACUCAAGUAAAAAAAUAAAAACUGCAUAAAGUAAAAGAAAGGCCCUUCGCAGAGGGAAGUAGGCAUUAGUAGAGGUGCCAGAGCUCAAAGCGAAAAUUGAGAGAUAAAAACAUUUUAGGAGGCAUACUUUUCCCACCAACGAAAACAACUUAGAUUUCCAACACUUUCCAUGCUAAAUAUGUCAUAGGUGGUUCCCAAAUAGAAAAUAAAUUGUAUUCCUUUUUCCAACAUACUUUCACUUUCCAUGGCUAACCCUAUCCACGGGUGAAGGAAAUAUGCCCUAGAGGCAAUAAUAAAGUUGUUAUUUAUAUUUCCUUAUGUCAUGAUAAAUGUUUAUUAUUCAUGCUAGAAUUGUAUUAGCCGGAAACUUAGUACAUGUGUGAAUACAUAGACAAACUAAGUGUAACUAGUAUGCCUCUACUUGACUAGCUCGUUGAAUCAAAGAUGGGUUAAGUUUCAUAGCCAUAGACAUGAGUUGUCAUUUGAUUAACGGGAUCACAUCCUUAGAGAAUGAUGUGAUUGACUUGACCCAUUCCGUUAGCUUAGCAUUUGAUCGUUUAGUAUAUUGUUAUUUCUUUCCUCAUGACUUAUACAUGUUCCUAUGACUAUGAGAUUAUGCAACUCCCGAAUACCGGAGGAACACUUUGUGUGCUACCAAACGUCACAACGUAACUGGGUGAUUAUCAGGUGUCUCCGAUGGUACUUUAUUGAGUUGGCAUAGAUCGAUAUUAGUAUUUUUCACUCCGAUUGUCAAAGAGGUAUCUCUCUGGGCCCUCUCAGUAAUGCACAUCACUAUAAGCCUUGCAAGCAAUGCAACUAAUGAGUUAGUUGCGGGAUGAUGUAUUACGGAACGAGUAAACAUACUUGCCGGUAACGAGAUUGAACUAGGUAUUGGAUACCGACGAUCAAAUCUCGAGCAAGUAACAUACCGAUGACAAAGGGAACAAUGUAUGAUGUUAUGCGGUUUGACUGAUAAAGAUCUUCGUAGAAUAUGUAGGAGCCAAUAUGAGCAUCUAGGUUCCGCUAUUGGUUAUUGACCGUAGACGUGUCUCGGUCAUGUCUACAUAGUUCUCGAACCCGUAGGGUCCGCACGCUUAACGUUCGGUGAUGAUCGGUAUUAUGAAUUUAUAUGUUUUGAUGUACCAAAGAUAGUUUGGAGUCUCAGAUAUGAGCACGUACAUAACGAGGAGUCUCGAAAUGGUCGAGACAUAAAGAUCAAUAUAUUGGAUGACUAUGUUUGGACUUCAGAAAGGUUCAGGGAAAGUUAGGACAAAAACCGGAGUACCAGGGGGUUACCGGAACCCCCUGGGGAGUGUAUUGGGAGUAUUGGGCCCUAGUGGAGAAGAUGAGGGGCGGCUAGGGCAGGCCACGCGCCCCCUCCCCCCCUCCCCAGUCCGAAUUGGACAAGGAAGGGAGCGGCACCCCCCUUUUUCCUUCCCCCUCUCUCCUCCUUCCUUCCCUCCUACUCCUUCCCUUGGAAGGAGGUGAAUCCUACUCCCGGUGGGAGUAGGACUCCUCCAGGGAGCGCCAUGAGAGGGCCGGCCCUCCCCCCUCCUCCACUCCUUAUACGGGGGAGAGGGCACCCCAUAGACACACAAGUUGAUCUGUUGAUCUUUUAGCCGUGUGUGGUGCCCCCCUCCACCAUUAUCCACCUCGAUCAUAUCGUAGCGGUGCUUAGGCGAAGCUUUGCGUUGGUAGCAUCAUCAUCAUCAUCAUCACUCCAUCGUGCUGACGGAACUCUCCUUCGGCCUCAAUUGGAUCAAGAGUACGAGGGACGUCAUCGAGCUGAACGUGUCCUGAACUCGGAGGUGCCGUGUGUUCGGUACUUGGAUCGGUCGGAUCGUGAAGACGUACGACUACAUCAACCACGUUGAUAUAACGCUUCUACUUAUGGUCUACGAGGGUACGUGGACGACACUCUCCCCGCUCUUUUCUAUGCAUCACCAUGAUCUUGCGUGUGCAUAGGAAUUUAUCUGAAAUUACUACAUUCCCCAACAGUGGCAUCUGAGCCAGGUUUAUGCGUAGAUGUUAUAUGCACGAGUAGAACACAAGUGAGUUGUGGGCGAUACAAGUCAUACUGCUUACCAGCAUGUCAUACUUUGAUUCGGCGGUAUUGUUGGAUGAAGUGGCCCGGACCGACAUUACGCGUAUGCUUAUGCGAGACUGGUUCUACCGACGUGCUUCGCACAUAGGUGGCUGGCCAGUGUCAGUUUCUCCAACUUUAGUCCAUCUAUGUGGCAAGUGCAAGUCACACCCUUCCAUCAAAACUUCUUAAAAAAAAUUCUAUGUGGCAAAGAGUUCUUAUUUGUACUCCUAGAUAGAACCCUCGUAUCACUUGAAUACAUCACUGUGAGUAACACAUACAAUAAUGUACAUUGUAAGUAGAUUAUUUUGUACUUACAAUGUAUCAACACCAUUGCCGUAUUUGUAGUAGGCUUGGCCUCAACACCUUAUAUCGUUGGGCCAUAUAUGGACUUACAUAAAAAAAAGCGGGUCGAUAAUGGCCGUCGCCAUCGGUUGAAAUCUGAAGAUCCAUGCGCCACCGAGUUGACAUUGACUCCACAAAGCAGCCGCCAGAACACAAGGAUAACUUAACUACUCCUACAUCUGUCUGUCAUACAGCGAUUAGUGUUUGAUCUUUUCCCAUAAGCACCGCCUGCAUAUGCAUCUUGCCAUUGUACUGGACUGGGGUCUGGAGUGGACGCAAAGCAAAACCACCUACUAGUCACCUGUCCCCCUCACAAACACGAGCCAAACGGGGAUCAAAGGCACAUGAUGAUAGGAAGUGAGGUGACAUUGUGAUCCAUGAACCGACCGGAAGCCUCAGCCACGAAUGAUUGAUUCCAUAGGCGGUAGAAUACGGUAAUGAUAAUCCCGUGCUCCUUGAUACGUCUCCAACGUAUCUAUAAUUUUUGAUUGCUCCAUGCUAUAUUAUAUACUGUUUUGGGCAAUAUUGGGCUUUAUUAUCCACUUUUAUAUUAUUUUUGGGACUAACCUAUUAACCGGAGGCCCAGCCCAGAUUUGUUGUUUUAUGCCUAUUUCAGUGUUUCGAGGAAAAGGAAUAUCAGACGGAGUCAAAACGGAACGAAAUCAACUGGAGAAGUUAUUUUUGGAAGGAAAGCAACCCAGGGAACUUGGAGUGCAUGUCAGGGGAGAUACGGGCUGCCCACGAGGGUGGGGGGCGCGCCCACCACCCCCGGGCGCGCCCCCUGCCUCGUGGGGCCCCCGUAGCUCCUCCGACGUACCCCCUGCACCCAUAUAUACUCUUGUACCCUAAAACUUCCAGAACAGAAGAUAGAUCGGGAGUUCCGCCGCCGCAAGCCUCUGUAGCCACCAAAAACCUCUCGGGAGCUCAUUCUGGCUCCCUGCCGGAGGGGGGUCCCAUCACCGGUGGCCAUCUUCAUCAUCCCGGCGCUAUCCAUGACGAGGAGCGAGUAGUUCACCCUCGGGGCUGAGGGUAUGUACCAGUAGCUAUGUGUUUGAUCUCUCUCUCUCUCUCUCGUGUUCUCUCUCGUGUUCCAUCUAUGGCACAAUCUUGAUGUAUCCCGAGCUUUGCUAUUGUAGUUGGAUCUUAUGAUGUUUCUCCCCCUCUACUCUCUUGUGAUGAAUUGAGUUUCUCCUUUGAAGUUAUCUUAUCAGAUUGAGUCUUUAUGAGAACACUUGAUGUAUGUCUUGCCGUGAUUAUCUGUGGUGACAAUGGGAUAUCAUGUGCCACUUGAUGUAUGUUUUGGUGAUCAACUUGCGGGUUUCAUGACAUUGGGAACCUAUGCAUAGGGGUUGGCACAUGUUCUUGACUCUCCGAUAGAAACUUUGGGGCACUCUUUGAAGUACUUUGUGUUGGUUGGAUGAAUCUGAGAUUGUGUGAUGCAUAUCCUAUAAUCAUGCCCACGGAUACUUGAGGUGACAAUGGAGUAUCUAGGUGACAUUAGGGUUUUGGUUGAUUUGAAUCUUAAGGUGUUAUUCUAGUAUAAACUCUUUUAUAGAUCGAUCCGAAAGAAUAGCUUUGAGGUGGUUUCGUACCCUACCAUAAUCUCUACAUUUGUUCUCCGCUAUUAGUGGCUUUGGAGUGACUCUUUGUUGCAUGUUGAGGGCUUGUUAUAUUAUCUAUCUAUGUUAUUAUUGUUGAGAGAACUUGCACUAGUGAAAGUAUGAACCCUAGGCCUUGUUUCCUACCAUUUCAAUACCGUUUACGCUCACUUUUACCACUUGUUACCUUGCUGUUUUUAUAUUUUCAGAUAAAAAAACCUAUAUCUACUAUCUAUUUUGCACUUGUAUCACCAUCUCUUCGCCGAACUAGUGCACCUAUACAAUUUACCAUUGUAUUGGGUGUGUUGGGGACACAAGAGACUUUUUGUUAUUUGGUUGCAGGGUUGCUUGAGAGAGACCAUCUUCAUCCUACGCCUCCUACAGAUUGAUAAACCUUAGGUCAUCCACUUGAGGGAAAUUUGCUACUGUCCUACAAACCUGUGCACUUGUAGGCCCAACAACGUCUACAAGAAGAAGGUUGCGUAGUAGACAUCACUCCUGCUUUGCCAACUCCAGCGCGCGACCCCAUCCCGCCCGGCCCCGUUCGUUUGAGGCAAAACGGACAGGCCCCACGGUCCAGCGCGCGAAGGCCUGAACCCAUCCUGUCUAUUUUGUGUCCGGCAUGAUAUGGUCAAGACAUGAUACUAAAUUUUAUUGUAUGAGAUGAUCAUGUUUUGUAACCGAGUUAUUGGCAACUGGCAGGAGCCAUAUGGUUGUCGCUUUAUUGUAUGAAAUGCAAUCGCCAUGUAUUUGCUUUACUUUAUCACUAAGCGGUAGCGAUAGUCGUAGAAGCAAUAGUUGGCGAGACGACAACGAUGCUACGAUGGAGAUCAAGGUGUCGCGCCGGUGACGAUGGUGAUCAUGAUGGUGCUUUGGAGAUGGAGAUCAAAGGCACAAGAUGAUGAUGGCCAUAUCAUAUCACUUAUAUUGAUUGCAUGUGAUGUUUAUCUUUUAUGCAUCUUAUUUUGCUUAGAUCGACGGUAGCAUUAUAAGUUGAUCUCUCACUAAAUAUCAAGCUAUAAGUGUUCUCCCUAAGUAAGCACCAUUGUGACAGUUUGUCAUGCCGAGACACCACGUGAUGAUCGGGUGUGAUAAGCUCUACGUUCACAUACAACGGGUGCAAGUCAGUUUUGCACACGCAGAAUACUCGGGUUAAACUUGACGAGCCUAGCAUAUGCAGAUAUGGCCUCGGAACACUGAGACCGAAAGGUCGAGCGUGAAUAAGAUAGUAGAUAUGAUCAACAUAGUGAUGUUCACCAUUGAAAACUACUACAUCUCACGUGAUGAUCGGACAUGGUUUAGUUGAUAUGGAUCACGUGAUCACUUAGAUGAUUAGAGGGAUGUCUAUCUAAGUGGGAGUUCUUAAGUAAUUUGAUUAAUUGAACUUUAAUUUAUCAUGAACUUAGUAGCUGAUAGUAUUUUGCAUGUCUAUGUUGAUGUAGAUAGAUGGCCCGUGCUAUUGUUCCAUUGAAUUUUAAUGCGUUCCUUGAGAAAGCUAAGUUGAAAGAUGAUGGUAGCAAUUACACGGACUGGGUCCGUAAAUUGAGGAUUAUUGAUGACCCACAAGUGUAGGGGAUCUAUCGUAGUCCUUUUAAUAAGUAAGAGUGUCAAACCCAACGAGGAGCAGAAGGAAAUGACAAGCGGUUUUCAGUAAGGUAUUCUCUGCAAGCACUGAAAUUGUAGGUAACAGAUAGUUUUGUGAUAAGAUAAUUUGUAACGGGUAACAAGCAAUGAAAGUAAAUAAGGUGCAACAAGGUGGCCCAAUCCUUUUUGUAGCAAAGGACAAGCUUGUACAAGUUCUUAUAAUGAGAAAAGCGCUCCCGGGGACAUAUGGGAAUUAUCAUCGAGCUAGUUUUCAUCACGCUCAUAUGAUUCGCGUUCGUUACUUUGAUAAUUUGAUAUGUGGGUGGACCGGUGCUUGGGUACUGCCCUUUCUUGGACAAGCCUCCCACUUAUGAUUAACUCCUAUUGCAAGCAUCCGCAACUACAAAAGAAGUAUUAAGGUAAACCUAACCAUAGCAUGAAACAAGUGGAUCCAAAUCAACCCCUUACGAAGCAACACAUAAACUAGGGUUUAAGCUUCUGUCACUCUAGCAACCCAUCAUCUACUUAUUACUUCCAAAUGCCUUCCUCUAGGCCCAAAUAAUGGUGAAGUGCCAUGUAGUCAACGUUCACAUAACACCACUAGAGGAGAGAAAACAUACAUCUCAUCAAAAUAUCGAACGAAUACCAAAUUCACAUGACUACUAAUAGCAAGACUUCACCCAUGUCCUCAGGAACAAACGUAACUACUCACAAAGCAUAUUCAUGUUCAUAAUCAGAGGGGUAUUAAUAUGCAUUAAGGAUCUGAACAUAUGAUCAGCCACCAAAUAAACCAAUUAGCAUCAACUACAAGGAGUAAUCAACACUACUAGCAACCCACAGGUAAGAAUCUGAGGUUUGGGUACAAAGAUUGGAUACAAGAGAUGAACUAGGGUUUGAGAGGAGAUGGUGCUGGUGAAGAUGUUGAUGGUGAUUGACCCCCUCUCAAUGAGAGGAUCUUUGGUGAUGAUUUCCCCCUCCCGGAGGGAAGUUUCCACGGCAGAACAGCUCCGCCGGAGCCCUAGAUUGGUUCCGCCAAGGUUCCGCCUCGUGGCGGCGGAGUUUCGUCCCGUAAGCUUGCUUAUGAUUUUUUCCAGGGUAAAAGACUUCAUAUAGUAGAAGAUGGGCAUCAGAGGGCCACCAGGGGGCCCACGAGGCAGGGGGCGCGCCCAGUAGGGGUGGGCCCCCUCUGGUACUUCUUUCGCUCAAUAAUUCUUAUUAAUUCCAAAAAUAACUUUCGUGCAGUUUCAGGACUUUUGGAGCUGUGCAGAAUAGGUUCCCAAUGUUUUCUCCUUUUCCAGCCGAGAAUACCAGUUGCCAGCAUUCUCCCUCUUCAUGAUAAACCUUGUAAAAUAAGAGAGAAUAGCCAUAAAUAUUGUGACAUAACGUGCAAUAACAGCCCAUAAUGCAAUAAAUAUCGAUAUAAAAGCAUGAUGCAAAAUGGACGUAUCAACUCCUCCAAGCUUAAACCUCCCUUGUCCUCAAGCGGAAGCUGAUAUCGAAAAAUAUGUCCACAUGUUCAGAGAUAGAGGUGUCAAAAAAUAUAAAAUACGCACAUGAGGGCAUCAUGAUCAUUCUUAUAACAGCAACAUAUAUAGAUUUUGUCAUAUAAUUUCUUAUGCUCAAGUAACAAUCUAUUCACAAUGUCAAGUAGGGUUCAGAAACUUCAUUGAGAACUAGCAAACUAUAAUAUUAGUCAUUGAAGCAAUUGCAAUUUAUCAUAACAUCGGAAAGAGUCAAGAAUAGAGCUUUUCAGCAAGUCCACAUACUCAACUAUCAUUUAGUCUUCUACAAUUGCUAACACUCACGCAAUACGUAUGGUUCUGGAGUUUUAAUCGGACACAGAGAAAGAUAGGGGCUUAUAGUGUUGCCUCCCAAUGUUUUACCUCAAGGGUAAUGUCAACUAUAAUAGUUCAUGCUAACUUACAUCCAAUUGGAUACAUAUAUUAGGAUCUUUCCAACACGAGGUGCUUGCCAAAGGAUAAAAUGAAAAAGGGAAAGGUGAAGAUCACCUUGACUCUUGCAUAAUGUAAAAGAUAGGCCCUUCGCAGAGGGAAGCAGAGGUUGUCAUGUGCUAUUAGGGUUGGAUGCACAAAAUCUUAAUGCAAAAGAACGUUACUUUAUAUUGCCACUUGUGAUAUGGACCUUUAUUAUGCAGUCCGUCGCUUUUAUUACUUCCAUAUCACACGAUCGUAUAAAGCUUAUUUUCUCCGCACUAAUAAGUCAUACAUAUUUAGAGAGCAAUUUUUAUUGCUUGCAACAUGACAACUUACUUGAAGGAUCUUACUCAAUCCAUAGGUAGCUAUGGUGGACUCUCAUGGCAAAAACUGGGUUUAAGGAUAUUUGGAAGCACAAGUAGUAUCUCUACUUGGUGCAAGGAAUUUGGCUAGCAUGAGAGGGAAAGGCAAGAUCAACAUGUUGGAUGAUCCAUGACAAUAUACUUUAACUAAGAUGAGAAAUCAUAACCCAUUACGUUGUCUUCCUUGUCCAACAUCAACUCUUUAGCAUGUCAAACUUAAUGAGUGCUCACAGUCAUAAAAGAUGUCCAAGAUAGUAUAUUUAUAUGUGAAAAAAUAUCUUUCUUUAUUACUUCCUAUUAAUUGCAACGAUGACCAAAACUAUGUUUGUCAACUCUCAACAACUUUUAUGCCUCAUACUCUCUAUGUGUAAAGUCAUUACUAUCCAUAAGAUCAAUAUGAAUUCUUUUAUACUUUUUGUUCUCUUAUGCCCUUAAGAUCAUGGAAAGAUAGCAAAGCCCUUGACUCAACACUAAUCUUUCUUAUAUAUAGAUCACGGACUCGAUUACAUAGAGGGAUCACAAAGCAAAACUCAAAACUAAUUCAUACCAAAACUUUAUUCUACUAGAUCAAGAUAUUACCAAAAGGAUCGAACUAAGAAAAACGGUAAAGAUAGGAGUGUGAUGGUGAUACGAUACCGGGGCACCUCCCCCAAGCUUGGCAGUUGCCAAGGGGAGUGCCCAUACCCAUGUGAUUAUGUGUCCUUCUUCAGAGUUGGUGUUUAUGGAGUCGUUGGUGAUGUAGGCUUUAUCCUCAAUUUGCGCUUGAGCAUGGAAUUUUGCUCCCUGAGAUCAUCAAUCUCCCGCUCAAGGCUUAAUAUCCUUUUGCAUAAUUCAUGUUUGUUUUCCUGCAAGAUACGAAAAGGGAUAAACUUCAUCUUGGGCUUCUUUGCCCUAUCAGGGAGGCUUGACUUUUUGAACUCCACAUGCAUAUCCCCAGGUUGAGGUAAUGGGACUUCAUCUUCAUCUGAGCUUGUCUCCUCCUUUCCCUUAGGCUUGUAGUCUUCUUCUUCCUCAGUGGUCCAGCCACAAUGAUCCAAGUCCUCGUAGACCUUAGGGUCUGCAAGGUAAUCAUCCACAUAGCUUUCUCCCUCCGAAUCCUGGGACUACAUAUUGCUCUAAUCUGCGGCAGAAACAGGUCGAAACGAAAACAGAAGAUUUUUGCGUGAUAUGGUGGUCAAAACCUUUGGGAGAUUAUUUCACUACUAGGGAAAAGCCUAGCAGCAGCACGGGUUUUGGCCCUCUCAGUAGCGCGGGUACCGGCGCUACUAAUAAGGCGCUACAGCUAACGUAUAGCAGUAGCGUCUGUUGACCCGCGCUACUGCUACUGAUGAAUAGAUGUAGCGCUCUUUGUAAAAGGGCGCUACUGAUAUUAUCUGCAGCGCUGUUUAGCAGGAAGCGCUACUGGUAAGUCGGCGCUACUGCUAAAUUUCCCCCCCUCGCUACUACUAGUUUUAUUAGGUUUUUUCCUGCAUAUUUGUUUUUUAAUUUGUUUUGUAUUUGAAUAGGCUUUAUACAAUAAUCUUUAGCAUAUCAUCCACAUACAAAUGUAAUCAUAGCAUAUACAUACAAUUAGUCUCAUCAAAUCAUGUCAUCAUCAUAAUCAUCAUCCAACACAAAGUGGUCUCUCGUCAUCAAUCUCGAAAAUAGCGAUACAAAGUCUCGAUUACUUGCAAAUACAUUGUCAUCCAUCUAAACAAUGAUAUACGCGAGAAUAGCUAUCACUUUGAGUACAUGAUUUCGUAUCCCUCUCCGAAAACCGGUACACCUGGGCCUGACACUCCGGACACUUGUCGUAUAUAUACUCCUGGCGUAGCACUUCUUCGCCAUCUAUGAUCUAUGCACCUGCAUCGUCACAUGAGUCUAUGAUAUGCAACAUAUAUAGUUGAGCAACAGAAAGAGACAGACUUGGCAAAAAUAGAAACAACAUAUCAUAAGCAUAAAUAACAAAGUUCAUCAUACCCAAAAUGACCUAACUAAAGUGAUUUUUGCUAGUCGAGGAGGAGGACGGUUUAAUUACAUCACACAUAAAGUUUCACCGUGCAUAACUCAAAGUUUUGUCAUAAAAGAAAGUAUGGACUAAACGAACACAUUGUCAUAUAUCAACAAUCACUCCAUCAUGUCGUGCCACCCAUCCAUGUCAGGGAGAUAGUCAUCGAGCUUAGUGAAAGGCUUCAUGUCGAGACGCUGAGAGGCUAUCCAUGUUCGGACGUCUUCCCACGACAUUUGUCCUUCUGCAUGGAACAUCCCUAUUUUUCCGAUGACCUCAUUCAUGACGAUUUCGGCAAGUUCGCGCUGGAUGUUAUAGAACUUAGCUCGAAGUCGAUGAUCCUCGAUAUCUCCUAUGUCCUUUGCCCAUUGCAGAAUAUGGGCAUCGCCAGAUCUAGGUGCCAUGUGAAGGUUCUGGUGAUCCCGUCUGUACUCCAGCAUGUGGUGUAGGACAUAGAAUCCAUCAUUACGAGAAUCGUUCGGUUGCUGGAUGCAGCAGAAGUCGGUCUUAUGGCUGAAGGCGGCCCUGCUUCCCCUUCUCUUCUUGUCCCUAACCUCUCCACCCCUUGCUUGGUAGUAAAACAUAGCACUGUCGAGAACAUCUUUGAUGUGGGUGUAAUCCUUUUUGUGAAUGUUCUUCGACGAGUCCAAGUAAAGAGCGUGGGAGAAUCGGGGGUAGAGGAUGAUGAGGACGGCGCGCCCGCCGCUAUGCAAAAUAAGUACACCUCAAAUUAAUUAGCCUCCACCGUGCAAAUGAAUUAUUGAAAUUGAAGGAAGGAUAGCAGCGCGGAUGACUUACAUGGGAUGAUAAGGCACGAGAAUCGCCUCCUUGUCCUUAUAGGCGAGCAUGAAACUGACGAUGUAAUCCCUGCGUAUUCACGAUGCUGUGCACAAACUCCCAAGAAGCCCUCGUGCAUGUAGUACGGGUCAGCGACACAGAUAAAACGUAUCUGCUCAACCCCAGUGAUGUAGUUCAUGUGCAAGGCAUAAAGGCGGACAAAGUAAAAUCCAGCUUCUUCACGUGAAACAUGUCGAAUAUGUAAUCGAAUCAGAGGAAGAACUUAUCCGCGGGGAAGCCAUCGACGUACGACAUUUGCCGUGGAACGUUAACCACGUAGAGUGGGUAUCCUGGAUCUUUCGAGGUGAUGAGGCCUUUCUCUACCCGCAGUACAUCAUCAUGAAGUCUCCUUAGAUCGCCGAAUCUGGCCCGUAGCGCUGUUUCAGGUAGGAUUGGUCGACCGGGGAUAUGCCAUUUAUCCGCAUCGGGGAUAUCUACACGGUCCUGAAGCCGAGGCUGCUGAGGCGGCUAGAUCAUAGAAUCAGCUUUUUUGCCUUUCCUCGCUCUCUUCCUAGACUUCUUUACCACCGGACGGUCGUCAAUAAUAUGUUGAGCCGGUAAUUCAGGCACCGACUCAUGACGCUCAAACCCUGAGGAGGCACCAGUAUUGACAUAAUGUUCAGCGCCAUCGUCAUCCUCAUCCUCAUCCAUGGCGACGUCAUCAGCGACUAAUGGAGCCACCUGCUUACCUCGUCCGCUAUCACCCAACCCGACACCCGACGCUAAUUGGGUAGGUGGGGUGUUGAUGUUCAUACCUUGCUGAGGCUGCAUGCUCAUGGGUGUGCUCCCGGCCGCCUCCAGACGAAGCAGACUCUUUGGCCACAACAGGACCCACCCAUUGCAACAAUCACCAAGCCGCCGCGGGGUCUCGUCAUCAUCCCCCACUAGUAUUAGAGGAGGCAAAUUCUCGUGGCCCGGUUUGACACUGGCCACAGAAACCUUGAAGACGUUCGGGGGGAUCGACCGACUGUGGAACAAUGGUUCCUUCGGGUCCAUUAUCGUCCCCUUCCCCAUGUCCACCUUCUAUUCGCCGAUGGUGUACAAUAUGGUGCACGGGGUUUCGUCGGCCUGCAAAGAAAAGUCUGCGACGUGAGACAUCCGAAAGGCAACAAAAAUAGGAGAUUAUACAUUUAUAUUGAAGGCGGUCGGUGUGACAGAUACCGUGAGGGCGUCGAGCUUAGCCAAAGAGGAGGCACCACCGAGCACGUCCGGUGUGGGAGCCGGUGCGGGAGCCAGUGCGGGAGCAGGUGCGGGAGCCGGUGCGGGAGCAGGUACGGGAGCCGGUGCGGGAGCAGGUGCUCCCAAGAAGUCAGCAAGGGGAAAGUCCUCUGCAUUUUUUCUGGAAUUUGCCUUGUCCAAGUGUAAACGCCCGUCACCAAGGAAGCAGAUAUAUCUGCAAUCGCCUGUUUUGCGGCAGCUACCGCUGUUGCGACUGUCUGAGGUGAUUUCUUGUCAACCGCAAUCUCAACCUUCUUGUCGAUGCUUUCUUCAGUUAACCUUCGUCUUUCCUUUCUCUCCUCCGUGGUCUCACGGUAGUACUUCUUCCACGUGGCGCCGUCUCCGACACCGUGCACGCAUCCAUACGACGGUCGAGUAUCCACCGGUUGUUGUUUCAAUAUGUUCAACGCCCGGUUGAAUGGAGUGUCCCACUUGGGCCUCGCCAAUGCCUCAGACGGCGAGUCGCUUUCGGCCACAAUCCGGUGCUGCUCUCUCUGCAAAAGGCACAAGGAUCAUUUACAAAUAUGACUAACGUGUGCAGUCGAAUUGAUCAGAAACUAAAAUUACCAGCAGUCUCAUGAACUCCGUAAUGAUCGGUGUUGUCUCGUAAACCUUCUUCACUGGGUCCCAACGGUGUCGGGCCCUCAGGACGUCACGCUCCUGCGGGGCGGUGAAAUCCGCCAAGGGGUCUGGGAUGCCCAGACUCGCGGCUUCCGCGUCCUCCUUGGCCCAUUUGGACCUCUUUCCGCCGUAACCACGGCUUCCGAGGUGGUGGCUACCAAUGUUCCUCUUUUGAAGCCCCUUCAUGUACUUAGACUUUUUUUUGGCAGCUUCGGCCUCGCAAGCCUCCGUGAAUAUUUGAAACUGCUCUUCCGUGAUUGUUGGAUUAUCCUUUACAAUCUCGGAGUAGGGUUCCCCGUCGUUGAUCUUUGCUUUCACUCGAUUUUUCCAGGCGGCCAACGCGUCGCUAAACUUGGUCAUGGCGUGUUUGUUUAUCUUCUUCAUUGCCGGGUCCUUGUCUGGAUCUUCAUAAUCCUUCUCAUUCCGGCCGGGGAACAAGAAUAUCUGGUGAAACUUCUUUAGGAGGGAGCUCCUCAUAUUUUCUAUCUUCUUUAGUUUCUCAUCGUUGAUGGUGGCGGUUGUCCGUAUGAUGCAGCCUAUUUGAUUGCCGUAGCACGCGCGCGCUUCCUCUGGCGCCUUUGGAUCAAAAUUGCCGUCGUCCACCUCCGUGACCACCAGUCUAGUAGUCCUGAGUUCGUUAGGAAGCUGUUGCCUCUUUGCUUUCGGUUCUACACUGGCUCCGCUCCUCGAGGAAGCACCGGUCUCAGCGCCGGUCUCGAUGCCGGUCUGAAUCUCAGCGCCGGUCUCAGUCUCAGCACCGGUCUGCGUGUCGGUCUCAGCACCGGUCUGCAUGUCGGUCUCAGUCCCCGAUGCCACUGGUGGGCCCAGCUACAACAUCUGUUGAUCGUCGGUAAGGCUAAACAAUUUGUCUGCCGCCCGGUAGACGUUGUCGCAAUCACCAGAACCCUGUCCUUCAUCAUUGCUAGCCAUGUUUCCUAUGAUUAAAUCUAGUCAAUUAAUUCUAGACCUAACAAAAUGAAUAAUGACAUAAAAAAGGACUAUUGUUUUGCAGGAAUGUUGACUCCUUCCUGGUGCGGCAAAUCCCGGGCACUCGAUAUGUCCUAGUUUGUAGCACAAGUCAUGCCGGAAUUCACGGAAAAUUUCGGCAUGACCUUUGCUAAAAAGUGGACAAAUCGAGAACCUGAAAUUUGCCGGAACAGAAAUGAAUCAACAUUCCGGCAAAACAUAGGCCACUCAGCAUCAUUCCCUGGAAACAGUGUUCAAAUAUCCCUCUUCGACACCGCAACACAUGUCCAAAUAUACACGAGCAACCACAUGUCCAAAUUUCACAAGCUAAUUCAAAAACAAAAUGUAGAAGAAAAUUCAUUUAACUACUAAUAAUCAAAAAAUUCAGUUAACUUUAGUGCUCUAUAAUGAUGAAAAGAAAAAAAUUCAGUUAACUACUAAUUUCAUUCAUUUAGGUUAUUCAUUUAACAUCACAUAAUUAACCUAUUGUACCACUACUACUAGCAGCACUACUAACCUAAUUAACCUAGCAAAACUCUAGUGCCCUAACUGAAAAACAUCUAAUUAACAUCUACUAGUACCACUAUUGCCCUAACCUAAUUAACAUCUACUAGUAUCACUAUGUACUAUACAAGCAGCAUCUACCCUAAUUAAACCCUACUGCCCUAACUAACUUUUGUUGUAAACCAAAUUUUUUGCUCUAAACUAAUUUUUGCUCUAACAUCUACUACUUAACAUUCUUUGCUCUAAACUAAAAUUUUUGCUAUAAACAAACUUUUGCUCUACUAAUUUUUUCUCUAAAAUUCAGAGAGAGAGGAGUAGGGGGGAGGGGUGGGGGACUUACAGAGAGGGGAGAGACAGUGGCGGGGAGGUGCUCGGUGACGGAGGCAGGGGCGGAGAGGGCGGGCUCGAGCAUGGGCAACGACGGUCCUGGGCGGGCUCGGGCGGUGGUGAGGUGGAGGGCGUGGACGGUGACGUCGAGGGAGGCCUCGAUCGGGCGGCGGCGGUGAGGCUGAGGGCGGCCUCGGGCGGCGGCUGUGAGGAUGACGACGGCCUCGGGGAGAGAUAGUGAGGUUGCGGGCGUCCGCGCCGGCAGGAGACGGCGGCGAAGUGGGGCGACGGCGAAUUGGGGAGACGGCGGCGAGGGCGAGGGAUUUGGGGAAGAAGUGUGGCGGCCAGUGGGCGGGGGGGUAACCGCUAUUUAAGUGAAACGUAACGGUAGCGCGUUUCCGAAAACGCGCUAUAGCUAAGUUAGCUACAGCGUGUUUUUGGAAACGCGCUACUGAUAUUCCUUUCUCCUUUUUUCCCUUUUUCUUUUAUUUUUCUUUACAUUUUAUUUUUUUCCCUUUCUCCUUUUUCUAUUUCUUUCAUUUUCAUUUACUUUUCUACUUGUUUUUCACUUUAUUUUAUUUCCGUUAGCAGUAGCGCCUUACACGUAAGCGCGCUACAGCUAAGGAGAGUAGCAGUAGCGCCGGGCUAGUAUACGCACUACUGCUAGGUUGGGCUAGCCAUGUGCGCCCAGUUCAAACAUAGCAGUAGCGCUUUUUGCUAGUACGCGCUACUGCUAAAGUCAUAGCAGUAGCGCGGUUAUUUUACACGCGUUGCUACUAAGUAGCAGUAGCGUUUGAUUUUGUACAGCGCUACUGGUAACAUUCUGUGCAUAAGGUUCCCUAGUAGUGUAUAAUGAUUUUUUACCGACCAAAAGAAGUAAUGUGAGCACACGAGGUGCCCACGAGGCAGGGGGCGCGCCCAGUAGGGGUGGGCGCGCCCUCCACCCUCGUGGAGGCCUCGUGUCCUUCCUGGACUACUUCCUAUUUUCCUAUUUUCUUAAAUAUUCCAAAACGGAGGAAAAUUGCUAUUAGAAUUGUUUUGGAGUUGGUUUAUUUACCGUACCACAUACCUAUUCCUUUUCGGAGUCUGAAACAUUCUGGAAAGUGUCCCUUAUGUAUUCCUCUUGGGUUACGGUUUCAAUAAUAUUAGUUUCAACAUUUAUAGGAUUACCUGAGAUAUAAUGUUUGAUUCUUUGACCGUUCACCACCCUCGGACUUGUGCCUUCGAAGUUGUUGAUUUUUAUGGCACCGGAACGAUAGACCUCCUCGAUAAUGUAAGGGCCUUCCCAUUUAGAGAGAAGUUUUCCUGCAAAAAAUCUAAAAUGAGAGUUGAAAAGCAAAACAUAAUCACCUACGUUGAACUCACGCUUUUGUAUCCUUUUGUCAUGCCAUCUUUUAACUUUUUCUUUGAACAACUUGGCAUUCUCAUAUGCUUGGUUUCUCCAUUCAUCAAGUGAGCUAAUAUCAAAUUACCUCUUCUCACCGGCAAGUUUGAAAUCAUAAUUGAGCUCUUUAAUAGCCCAAUAUGCCUUAUGUUCAAGUUCGAGAGGUAAGUGACAUGCUUUUCCAUAAACCAUUUUAUACGAAGACAUACCCAUAGGAUUCUUAUAUGCAGUUCUAUAGGCCCAUAAUGCAUCGUCAAGUUUCUUGGACCAAUUCUUUCUAGAUCUAUUAAUAGUCUUUUGCAAAAUUAAUUUGAGCUCUCUAUUACUCAACUCUACUUGACCACUAGACUGUGGGUGAUAAGGAGAUGUAAUUCUAUGAUUAACAUCAUACUUAGGAAGCAUUUUACGAAAAGCACCAUGAGUAAAGUGUGAACCACCAUCAGUCAUUAAGUAUCUAGGGACUCCAAACCUCGGAAAAAUAACUUCUUUAAGCAUCUUAAUAGAGGUGUUAUGAUCAGCACUACUAGUUGGAAUAGCUUCUACCCACUUAGGAACGUAAUCAACAGCAACUAAAAUAUGAGUAUAUCCAUUAGAGGCACGAAAAGGUCCCAUAUAAUCAAAGCCCCAAACAUCAAAUGGUUCAAUAACAAGAGAAUAAUUCAUAGGCAUUUCUUGACGUCUACUAAUAUUACCAAUUCUUUGACAUUCAUCACAAGACAAGACAAACUUAUGGGCAUCUUUGAAGAGAGUAGGCCAAUAAAAAUCGGAUUGCAAUACAUUAUGUGCAGUUCUAUCUCCAGCGUGGUGUCCUCCAUAUGGUUCGGAGUGACACUUGCGUAGGAUAUGUUCCUGUUCAUGCUCAGGUACACAACGUCUAAUAACACCAUCUACUCCUUUAUAAAGGCGUGGGUCAUCCCAGAAGUAAUGUCUUAAAUCAUAAAAGACCUUUUUCUUUUGCUGGUAUGUGAAACUAGGUGGUAUAAAUUUAGCAACAAUGUAAUUAGCAUAAUCAGCAUACCAUGGAGCAGUAUGAGAAGCAUUUAUGACAGUUAAUUGUUCAUCAGGAAAACUAUCAUCAAUAGGUAGCGGGUCAUCAAGAACAUUCUCUAGCCUAGACAAGUUGUCUGGAACGGGGUUGUCAUCUCCCUUUCUAUCAAUAAUACGCAAAUAAAAUUCUUGGAGCAAGAGGACCCAUCUAAUAAGUCUAGGUUUAGCAUCUUUCUUUUCCAUAAGAUAUUUAAUAGCAGCAUGAUCAGUGUGAAUAGUUACUUUAGAAUCAACAAUAUAAGGUCUGAACUUAUCACAUGCAAAUACAACUGCUAAGAAUUGUUUUUCAGUAGUAGCAUAAUUUCUCUGGGAAGUGUCAAGAGUUUUACUAGCAUAUUGAAUAACAUUUAAUUUCUUAUCAACUCUUUGCCCUAGAACAGCACCUAUAGCAUAAUCACUAGCAUCACACAUAAUUUCAAAGGGUAAAUUCCCAUCAGGUGGUUGAACAAUAGGUGCAGUGAUCAAAGCUUUCUUAAGUAUUUCAAAUGCUUCUACACAAUCAUCAUCGAAAACAAAAGGAAUAUCUUUUUGUAAUAGGUUAGUGAGAGGCCUAGAGAUUUUAGAAAAGUCCUUAAUGAACCUCCUAUAAAAACCGGCAUGACCAAGGAAACUUAGUAUACCUUUUAUGUCCUUGGGACAUGACAUCUUUUCAAUAGCAUCAACUUUAGCUUUAUCAACUUCAAUACCUCUUUCAGAAAUUUUAUGCCCCACGACAAUGCCUUCAUUAACCAUAAAGUGACACUUCUCCCAAUUCAAGAUGAGACUAGUGUCUUCACAUGUCUGCAAAACUCGAUCAAGGUUGCUCAAGCAAUCGUCAAAAGAGGAUCCAUAAAUGGAGAAAUCAUCCAUGAAUACCUCACAAAUCUUUUCACAGAAGUCAGGGAAUAUAGCCAUCAUGGAUCUUUGAAAGGAGGCGGGUGCAUUACAUAAACCACAAGGCAUACGUCUAUAAGCAAAAGUACCGAAAGGGCAAGUAAAAGUAGUUUUUGCUUGAUCGUCCGCUGAUACAGGUAUUUGAGAAAAACCAGAAUAACCAUCUAGAAAGCAGAAAUGUGUAUGUUUGGAUAGUCUUUCUAGCAUUUGAUCAAUAAAAUGUAAAGGGUAAUGAUCUUUCUUAGUAGCUUUAUUUAAUUUGCGGAAAUCAAUUACCAUCCUAUAACCUGUAAUAAUUCUUUGCGGGAUCAGUUCAUCUUUAUCAUUGGGAACGACAGUAAUACCUCCCUUCUUAGGGACACAAUGGACAGGACUUACCCACUCACUAUCAGCAACGGGAUAAAUUAUACCUGCCUCAAGGAGCUUUAGUAUUUCCUUUCUUACCACUUCUUUCAUCUUAGGAUUUAACCGUCGUUGAUGAUCUCUAACUGGUUUGGCGUCUUCGUCCAAUUUAAUUUUGUGUUGGCAUAGAGUGGGACUAAUGCCCUUAAGAUCAUCAAGAGUAUAUCCAAUAGCAGCACAGUGCUUCUUUAGAGUUUUCAAUAAUCUUUCCUCUUCCUGCUCUGAAAGGUUAGCACUAAUAUAACAGAAUAUAUCUUCUUUUCAUCAAGGUAAGCAUAUUUAAGAGUAUCAGGUAAAGGUUUAAGCUCAAACAUGGGAUCACCCUUGGGUGGAGGAGGAUCCCCAAGGAUUUCAGCAGGUAAGUUGUGUUUCACAAUAGGACCCUGUUUAAGGAAUACUUCAUCUGUUUCCCUUCUUUCAUUCAUAAACAUAUCAUUUUAUGGUCUAGCAAAUAUUGUUCUAACGGAUCAGUAGGAGGCACGACAAUAGAAGCAAGACCAAUAAUUUCAUCCUUACUAGGCAAUUCUUUACCAUGGGGUUGUCUACAAAAUUUAGCAAAAUUAAACUCAUGUGUCGUAUCCCCCAGACCAAUAGUAACAACAUCCUUUUCACAAUCAAUCCUAGCAUUAGCAGUGUUCAAGAAGGGUCUACCAAAUAUAAUGGGAAAAAAUCUAUCUUGUGGGGAACCAAGAACAUGGAAAUCGGCAGGAUAUUUAACUUUCCCACACAAGACUUCAACAUCUCUAACAAUCCCAAAUGGUGAAAUAGUAUCUCUAUUGGCAAGCUUAAUUGUAACAUCAAUAUCUUCUAACUCGGCGGGUGCAAUAUCAUGCAUAAUUUCAUUAUAUAAGGAAAUAGGUAUUGCACUAGCACUAGCACACAUAUCACAUAAGCCAUGAUAACAAUGAUCUCCUAUUUUAACAGAAAUAACAAGCAUGCCUACAACAGGUCUAUGUAUCUUAGCAUCGGGUUUAGCAAUAUUAGCAGCUUCCUCACAGAAGUAAAUAACAUGCCCAUCAAUAUUAUCAGCCAAGAGAUCUUUAACCAUAGCAAUACUAGGUUCAACUUUAAUUUGCUCAGGAGGUGUAUAAGUUCUAGUAUUACUCUUACGAACAACAAUUGAAGCUUUAGCAUGAUCCUUUAUCCUAACAGGGAAAGGUGGUUUCUCAACAUAAGUAGUAGGAACAAUAGGAUCAUUAUAAGUGAUAAUCUUUUCUUCAACUGCAACAGGUGCAACUACUUUUACUUCAAUGGGAGGAUUAUAUUUAAACCACUUCUCCUUAGGGAGAUCAACGUGAGUAGCAAAUGAUUCACAGAAGGAGGCUACUAUCUCAGAGUCAAGUCCAUAUUUAGUCCUAAAUCCACGAAAAGCAUCGGUAUCCAUAAAAGACUUAAUACAAUCAAACUUAGGUGUCAUACCUGACUCCUUACCAUCGUCGGAACCCCAAUCUUCAGAGUUGCGUUUAAUUCUUUCCAAUAAGUCCCACUUGAAUUCAAUAGUCUUCAGCAUAUAGGAACCAGCACAGGAAGUAUCGAGCAUGGUGCGAUCAUUGACAAAAAGCCGAGCAUAAAAAUUUUGAAUAAUCAUUUCUCUUGAGAGCUCAUGAUUGGGGCAUGAAUAUAACAUUGACUUAAGCCUCCCCCAAGCUUGAGCGAUACUUUCUCCUUCACGAGGCCAAAAAUUAUAUAUAUAAUUAUGAUCACGAUGAACAAGAUGCAUAGGAUAGAACUUCUGGUGAAAUUCCGAUUUCAAUCAUUUAUAGUCCCAAGAUCCCGUAUCAUCACAUAGCCUAUACCAUGUCAAUGCGUCUACCUUCAAAGAUAAAGGGAAGACCUUCCUCUUGACAACAUCGUCGGGCAUACCUGCAAGCUUAAAUAAUCCACAAACUUCAUCCACAUAGAUAAGGUGUAAAUCGGGAUGCAAUGUUCCAUCUCCUGCAAAGGGAUUAUUUAGCAGUUUCUCUAUCAUACCCGAAGGAAUCUCAAAGUAAACAUUUUCAGUAGGUUGAGUAGGUUGAGGAGCAACCCUUUGCUCUACUGGUCGGGGUGAAGAUGCCCCGAACAAUCCACUCAAACGAUUAGUUUCCAUAGUAACAAGUGACAGAAAAUUUCAGCACACUAUAUAAAUGUUUCCUUACCAAGUUCCACUCACCAAAGGAGCUUCACUCCCCGCAACGGCGCCAAAAAAGAGUCUUGAUGACCCACAAGUGUAGGGGAUCUAUUGUAGUCCUUUCGAUAAGUAAGAGUGUCGAACCCAACGAGGAGCAGAAGGAAAUGACAAGCGGUUUUCAGUAAGGUAUUCUCUGCAAGCACUGAAAUUGUAGGUAACAGAUAGUUUUGUGAUAAGAUAAUUUGUAAUGGGUAACAAUUAAUGAAAGUAAAUAAGGUGCAGCAAGGUGGACCAAUCCUUUUUGUAGCAAAGGACAAGCCUGGACAAGUUCUUAUAUGAGAAAAGCUCUCCCGAGGACACAUGGGAAUUAUUGUCAAGCUAGUUUUCAUCACGCUCAUAUGAUUUGCGUUCGUUACUUUGAUAAUUUGAUAUGUGGGUGGACCAGUGCUUGGGUACUGCCCUUUCUUGGAAAAGCAUCCCACUUAUGAUUAACCCCUAUUGCAAGCAUCUGCAACUACAAAAGAAGUAUUAAGGUAAACCUAACCAUAGCAUGAAACAAGUGGAUCCAAAUCAGCCCCUUACGAAGCAACGCAUAAACUAGGGUUUAAGCUUCUGUCACUCUAGCAACCCAUCACCUACUUAUUACUUCCAAAUUCCUUCCUCUAGGCCCAAAUAAUGGUGAAGUGUCAUGUAGUCGACGUUCACAUAAAACCACUAGAGGAGAGACAACAUACAUCUCAUCAAACUAUCGAACGAAUACCAAAUUCACAUGACUACUAAUAGCAAGACUUCACCCAUGUCCUCAGGAACAAACAUAACUACUCACAAAGCAUAUUCAUGUUCAUAAUCAGAGGGGUAUUAAUAUAAAUUAAGGAUCUGAACAUAUGUUCUUCCACCAAAUAAACCAAUUAGCAUCAACUACAAGGAGUAAUCAACACUACUAGCAACCCACAGGUACCAAUCUGAGGUUUGGGUACAAAGAUUGGAUACAAGAGAUGAGCUAGGGUUUGAGAGGAGAUGGUGCUGGUGAAGAUAUUGAUGGAUAUUGACCACCUCUUGAUGAGAGGAUCAUCGGUGAUGAUGAUGGUGAUGAUUUCCCCCUCCUGGAGGGAAGUUUCCCCGGCAGAACAGCUCUGCUGGAGCCCUAGAUUGGUUCCGCCAAGGUUCCGCCUCGUGGCGGCGGAUUUUUGUCCUGUAAGCUUGCUUAUGAUUUUUUCGGGGGUAAAAGACUUCAUAUAGCAGAAGAUGGGCACUGAAGGGCCACCAGGGGGACCACGAGGCAAGGGGUGCCGCCCAGUAGGGGUGGGCGCCCCCGCCCACCCAUGUGGCCAGGGUGUGGGCCCCCUCUGGUACUUCUUUCGCUCAAUAAUUCUUAUUAAUUCCAAAAAUGACUUUCGUGGAGUUUCGGGACUUUUGGAGCUGUGCAGAAUAGGUUUCCAAUAUUUUCUUCUUUUCUAUCCCAAAAUCCUAGCUGCCGACAUUCUCCCUCUUCAUGAUAAACCUUGUAAAAUAAGAGAUAAUAGCCAUAAAUAUUAUGACAUAACAUGUAAUAAUAGCCCAUAAUGCAAUAAAUAUCGAUAUAAAAGCAUGAUGCAAAAUCGACGUAUCAAUUAUCCUCAUUGCUGCAUAGAAGAAAUACGUCCUGGAAGCAACGCUAGGUGCCAGACUCACUGCAGGAGCAAUGCCACAUGUUAUGAACAUCUGGCAGAGCAAAGCUGAUGACUACUCUAUAGUUCAGUGUGCCAUGCUUUACGGCUUAGAACCGGGACUUCAACGACGUUUUGAACAUUAUGGAGCAUAUGAGAUGUUCUAGGAGUUGAAGUUAAUAUUUCAAGCAAAUGCCCAGAUUGAGAGAUAUGAAGUCUCCAAUAAGUUCUACAGCUGCAAGAUGGAGGAGAAUAGUUAUGUUAGUGAGCAUAUACUCAGGAUGUCUGGGUAUAAACAUCACUUUAUUCAACUGGGAGUUAAUCUUCCAGAUGAUAGUGUCAUUGACAGAAUUCUUCAAUCACUACCACCAAGCUACAAGAGCUUCAUGAUGAACUAUAAUAUGCAAGGUAUGGAUAAGACUAUUCCCGAGCCCUUCGUGAUGUUAAAGGCUGCGGAGGUAAAAAUCAAGAAGGAGCAUCAAGUGUUGAUGGUUAACAAGACCACCAGUUUCAAGAAAAAGGGUAAAGGGAAGAAAGGGAAAUUCAAGAAGAACAGCAAGCAAGUUGCUGCUCAAGUGAAUAAGCCCAAGUCUGGACCUAAGCCUGAGAUUGAGUGCUUCUACUGCAAAGGGACUGGUCGCUGGAAGCGGAACUGCCCCAAGUAUUUGGCGGAUAAGAAGGAUGGCAAGGUGAACAAAGGUGUAUGUGAUAUACAUGUUAUUGAUGUGUACCUUACUAAUGCUCGCAGUAGCACCUGGGUAUAUGAUAUUGGUUCUGUUGCUAAUAUUUGCAACUCGAAACAGGGACUACGAAUUAAGCAAAGAUUGGCUAAGGCCGAGGUGACGAUGCGCGUGGGAAAUGGUUCCAAAGUCGAUGUGAUCGCAGCCAGCACGAUACCUCUACAUCUACCUUCGGGAUUAGUUUUAGACCUGAAUAAUUCUUAUUUGGUGCCAGCGUUGUGCAUGAACAUUAUCUCUGGAUCUUGUUUGAUGCGAGACAGUUAUUCAUUUAAAUCCGGAAAUAAUGGUUGUUCUAUUUAUAUGAGUAAUAUCUUUUAUGGUCAUGCACCCUUGAAGAGUGGUCUAUUUAUAUUGAAUCUCGAUAGUAGUGAUACACAUAUUCAUAAUAUUGAAGCCAAAAGAUGUAGAGUUGAUAAUGAUAGUGCAACUUAUUUGUGGCACUGCCAUUUAGGUCAUAUUAGUGUAAAGAGCAUGAAGAAACUCUAUUCUGAUGGACUUUUGGAAUCACUUGAUUGUGAAUCACUUGGUACUUGCGAACCAUGCCUCAUGGGCAAGAUGACUAAAACGCCGUUCUCCAGAACAAUGGAGCGAGUAACAAAUUUGUUGGAAACCAUACAUACAUAUGUAUGUGGUCCAAUCAAUGUUGAGGCUCGCGGCGGGUAUCAUUAUUUUCUCACCUUCACAGAUGAUUUGAGCAGUUAUGGGUAUAUCUACUUGAUGAAACAUAAGUUUGAAACAUUUGAAAAGUUCAAAGAAUUUCAUAGUGAAGUGGAAAAUCAUCGUAACAAGAAAAUAAAGUUUCUACGAUCUGAUCGUGGAGGAGAAUAUUUGAGUUAUGAGUUUGGUCUUCAUUUGAAACAAUGCGGAAUAGUUUCGCAACUCACGCCACCCGGAACACCACAACGUAAUGGUGUGUCCAAACGUUGUAAUCGUACUUUACUAGAUAUGGUGCGGUCUAUGAUGUCUCUUACUGAUUUACCGCUAUCGUUUUGGGGUUAUGCUUUAGAGACGGCUGCAUUCACGUUAAAUAGGGCACCAUCUAAAUCCGUUGAGACGACGCCUUAUGAACUGUGGUUUGGCAAGAAACCAAAGUUGUCGUUUCUUAAAAUUUGGGGCUACGAUGCUUAUUUGAAAAAGCUUCAACCUGAUAAGCUCGAACCCAAAUCGGAGAAAUGUGUCUUCAUAGGAUACCCAAAGGAUACUGUUGGGUACACCUUCUAUCACAGAUCCGAAGGCAAGAUAUUCGUUGCUAAGAAUGGAUCCUUUCUAGAGAAGGAGUUUCUCCCGAAAUAAGUGAGUGGGAGGAAAGUAGAACUUGAUGAGGUAACUAUACCUGCUCCCUUGUGGAAAGUAGUUCAUCACAGAAAUCUGUUCCUGUGACUCCUACACCAAUUAGUGAGGAAGCUAAUGAUGAUGAUCAUGUAACUUCAGAUCAAGUUACUACCGAACCUUGUAGGUCAACCAGAGUAAGAUCCGCACCAGAGUGGUAUGGUAAUCCUGUCCUCAAGGUCAUGUUACUUGACCAUGACGAACCUACGAACUAUGAGGAAGCGAUGAUGAGCCCAGAUUCCGUGAAAUUGCUUGAGGCCAUGAAAUCUGAGACGGGAUCCGUGUAUGAGAACAAAGUGUGGACUUUGGUUGACUUGCCCGAUGAUCGGCAAGCCAUCAAGAAUAAAUGGAUCUUCAAGAAGAAGACUGACGCUGAUGGUAACGUUACUGUCUACAAAGCUCGACUUGUCGCGAAAGGUUUUCAACAAGUUCAAGGGGUUGACUACGAUGAGACUUUCUCACCUGUAGCGAUGCUUAAGUCCGUCCGAAUCAUGUUAGCAAUUUCCGCAUUUUAUGAUUAUGAAAUUUGGCAAAUGGAUGUAAAGACUGCAUUCCUGAAUGGUUUUCUGGAAGAAGAGUUGUAUAUGAUGUAGCCCGAAGGUUUUAUCAAUCCAAAGGAUGCUAACAAAGUGUGCACGCUCUAGCGAUCCAUCUAUGGACUGGUGCAAGCAUCUCGGAGUUGGAAUAAACAUUUUGAUAGUGUGAUCAAAGCAUAUGGUUUUAUACAGACUUUUGGAGAAGCCUGUAUUUACAAGAAAUUGAGUGGGAGCUUUGUAGCAUUUCUAAUAUUAUAUGUGGAUGACAUAUUUUUGAUUGGAAAUCAUAUAGAAUUUCUGGAUAGCAUAAAAGGAUACUUGAAUAAGAGUUUUUCAAUGAAAGACCUCGGUGAAGCUGCUUAUAUAUUGGGCAUCAAGAUCUAUAGAGAUAGAUCAAGACGCUUAAUUGGACUUUCACAAAGCACAUACCUUGAUAAAGUUUUGAAGAAGUUCAAAAUGGAUCAAGCAAAGAAAGGGUUCUUGCCUGUGUUACAAGGUGUGAAGUUGAGUCAAACUCAAUGCCCGACCACUUCAGAAGAUAGAAAGAAAAUGAAAAUAGUUCCCUAUGCUUCAGCCAUAGGCUCUAUCAUGUAUGCAAUGUUGUGUACCAGACCUGAUGUGUGCCUUGCUAUUAGCUUAGCAGGGAGGUACCAAAGUAAUCCAUGAGUGGAUCACUGGACAGCAGUCAAGAACAUCCAGAAAUACCUGAAAAGGACUAAGGAUAUGUUUCUCAUUUAUGGAGGUGACAAAGAGAUCGUCGUAAAUGGUUACGUCGAUGCAAGCUUUGACACUGAUCCGGCUGAUUCUAAGUCACAAACCGGAUACGUGUUUAUAUUGAAUGGUGGAGCUGUCAGUUGGUGAAGUUCUAAGCAAAGCGUCGUGGUAGGAUCUACAUGUGAAGCGGAGUACAUAGCUGCUUAGGAAGCAGCAAAUGAAGGAGUCUGGGUGAAGGAGUUCAUAUCCGAUCUAGGUGUCAUACCUAGUGCAUCGGGUCCAAUGAAAAUCUUUUGUGACAAUACUGGUGCAAUUGCCUUGGCAAAGGAAUCUGGAUUUCACAAGAGAACCAAACACAUUGAGAGAUGCUUCAAUUCCAUCCGCGAUCUAGUCAAGGAGGGAGACAUAGAGAUUUGCAAGAUACAUACGGAUCAGAAUGUUGCAGACCCGUUGACUAAGCCUCUCUCACGAGCAAAACAUGAUCAGCACCAAGACUCCAUGGGUGUUAGAAUCAUUACUGUGUAAUCUAGAUUAUUGACUCUAGUGCAAGUGGGAGACUGAAGGAAAUAUGCCCUAGAGGCAAUAAUAAAGUUGUUAUUUACAUUUCCUUAUGUUAGGAUAAAUGUUUAUUAUUCAUGCUAGAAUUGUAUUAGCCGGAAACUUAGUACAUGUGUGAAUACAUAGACAAACUAAGUGUCACUAGUAUGCCUCUACUUGACUCGCUCGUUGAAUCAAAGAUGGUUAAGUUUCCAAGCCAUAGACAUGAGUUGUCAUUUGAUUAACGGGAUCACAUCAUUAGAGAAUGAUGUGAUUGACUUGACCCAUUCGGUUAGCUUAGCACUUGAUCGUUUAGUAUAUUGCUAUUGCUUUCUUCAUGACUUAUACAUGUUCCUAUGACUAUGAGAUUAUGCAACUCCUGAAUACUGGAGGAACACUUUGUGUGCUACCAAACAUCACAACAUAACUGGGUGAUUAUAAAGGUGCUCUACAGGUAUCUCCGAUGGUACUUUAUUGAGUUGGCAUAGAUCCAGAUUAGGAUUUGUCACUCCGAUUGUCGGAGAGGUAUCUCUCUGGGCCCUCUCGGUAAUGCACAUCACUAUAAGCCUUGCAAGCAAUGCAACUAAUGAGUUAGUUGCGGGAUGAUGUAUUACAGAACGAGUAAAGAGACUUGUCGGUAAUGAGAUUGAACUAGGUAUUGGAUACCGACGAUCGAAUCUUGGGCAAGUAACAUACCGAUGACAAAGGGAAAAUGUAUGUUGUUAUGCGGUUUGACCGAUAAAGAUCUUCGUAGAAUAUGUAGGAGCCAAUAUGAGCAUCCAGGUUCCGCUAUUGGUUAUUGACCAGAGACGUGUCUCGGUCAUGUCUACAUAGUUCUCGAACCCGUAGGGUCCGCACGCUUAACAUUCAGUGACAUCGGUAUUAUGAGUUUAUAUGUUUUUAUGUACCGAAGAUAGUUUGUAGUACCGGAUAUGAUCACAGACAUAACAAGGACUCUCAAAAUGGUUGAGACAUAAAGAUCGAUAUAUUGGAUGACUAUGUUUGGGCUUCAGAAAGGAUUCGGGCAAGUUCGGACAAAACCGGAGUACGGGGGGUUACCGGAACCCCCCGGGGAGUGUAUUGGGCCAAUUGGGCCCUAGUGGAGAAGAGGAGGGGCGGCCAGGGCAGGCCGCGCGCCCCCUCCCCCCUGCUCCGAAUUGGACAAGGAAGGGGGGCGGCGCCCCCCUUUUUCCUUCCCCCUCUCUCCUCCUUCCUUCCCUCCUACUCCUUCUCUUGGAAGGGGGAAUCCUACUCCCGGUGGGAGUAGGACUCCUCCAGGGCGUGCCAUGAGAGGGCCAGCCCUCCCCCCUCCUCCAUUCCUUUAUAUACGGGGGAGGGGGCACCCCAUAGACACACGAGUUGAUCUGUUGAUCUUUUAGCCGUGUGCGGUGCCCCCCUCCACCAUAAUCCACCUUGAUCAUAUCGUAGCGGUGCUUAGGUGAAGCCUUGCGUCGGUAGCAUCAUCAUCAUCGUCAUCACACUGUCAUGCUGAUGGAACUCUCCCUCGGCCUCAACUGAUCAAGAGUAUGAGAGACGUCAUCGAGCUGAACGUGUGCUGAACUCCAAGGUGCCGUGCGUCUGGUACUUGGAUCGGUCGGAUCGUGAAGAUGUACGACUACAUCAACCGUGGUUAUAUAACGCUUCCGCUUACAGUCUACGAGGGUACGUGGACGACACUCUCCUCGCUCGUUGCUAUGCAUCACCAUGAUCUUGCGUUUGCGUAGGAUUUUGUUUGAAAUUACUACGUUCCCCAACAACGGGUGCCCUCCAUACCAACACUUUCCAAGGAAUUUAUUAUUUGGCAACAUAAAGUAAAUUCAUUUUUCAUUUCGGGACUAGGCAUCCCUAAUAUCUUUGUCGUACUCUCAUGCAAUAGCAAUUGGAUAGACACUCAUCGUGAGAAUAACACAUCUAGCAUGGAAAAUAUUGGCCACCCCUCACCGCCUCGCGAGCGGUACGAGCACACAAAAGAAAAUUUUAUUUUGAAAAAUAGAGAUAGCACAUACAAAUUUGCUUCGAACGGCAUGGAAAUACCGCAUAUAGGUAGGUAUAGUGUACUCAUAUGACAAAACUGGUUUAAAGGGUUUUGAAUGCACAAGUAGUGAUCAUACUUAGUGCAAAUAAAGGCUAGAAAAAAGAUUGAGAAGCCUCCAACCAAGAAACGGAAAAUCUCAUAAGCGAGCAUUAAGCAUAACUAACACCGAAUAAUGCACCACCAGUAGGAUGUAAUUUCAUUGCAUAACUAUUGACUUUCAUGCUUGCAUAGGGAAUCACAAACCUUAACACUAAUAUUCUUACUAAAGCAUAAUUACUCAUCAACAUGACUCACAUAUCAUAUCGUCAUAUCUCAAAACUAUUACAAAGAACCAAGUUUAUUUUGUCCAAUGAUCUUCAUGAAAGUUUUUAUUCUAUUCUCCUUGUAUAUCUAUCACUUUUGACUAAUUUCAUAUGUUGCUUUUACUAAGCUCAAGCAAAUAUAAGUGAAGAACAUGAGCAUAGUAUUUCUUUCUCUCAAAAUAAUCUAAGUGAAGCAAGAGAGAAUUUCGUAAAAAAAUUACAAACUCUCAAAUAAAUCUAAGUGAAGCAUGAGAGCAUUUCUUCAAAAAUAACAAAGCACACCGUGCUCAAAAAGAUAUAAGUGAAGCACUAGAGCAAUUCCAUGGCUCUAAAAAUUGAAGUGAAUCAUAGGAGCAACCAUAUUUUUGGCUCUCUCAAAAAGGUGUGUCCAGCAAGGAUUCAAGACUUAAAAUAAAAAGAAAAACAAGCAAAGACUCAUAUCAUACAAGACGCUCCAAUCAAAACUCGUAAUAUGAGAUGAAUAAAAAUAUUGCUCCAAGUAAAAUACCGAUGGUUGUUAGAAGAAAGAGGGGAUGCCACUUGGGGGCAUUCCCAAGCUUAGUUGCUUGAUACUUCUUGAAUAUUAUCUUGGGGUGCCUCGGGCAUCCCCAAGAUUAGCCUUUUGCUAAUCCGUAUUCCUUCAUCCAUCAUAAUAUCACCGGAAACUUGAAAACUUCAAUCACACAAAACUCAACAAAACCAUCGUGAGAUCCGUUAGUAUAAGAAAGCAAACCAUUACUAUAAGUACUGUUGCACACAAAUUCAUAUUUUAUUUUUGCAUUACAUAUACUGUAUUCCAACUUUUCUAUGGCAAAAACUCUUCAACGAAAACCAUAGAAUCAUCAAAACAAGCGCACAACGCAAAGAAAACAAAAUAUGUCAAAAACAGAACAGUUGUAGCAAUCUGGAUAUUUCGAAUACUUCUGUAACUCCAAAAAUUCUGAAAAAUUAGGACAACAUGAGAAAUCUGCAUACUAAUCUUCUGCAAAAAUAAUUAACUCAAAAUCACUCUUCUGUUAACAAUGGUAAUUAUUUUCUUGAGCGCAAAAGUUUCUAUUUUUCAGCAAGAUCAAAUCAACUCUCACCCAAAUCAUCCCAAAGGCUUUGCUUGGCACAAACACUAAUUUAAACCUCAAAAACACAUCUAAUCAGAGGCAUAAUUGGGUAUUUUAUUGAAAACAGCAAGAAAACCAAAAACCAAAAAUAUACGAGUUGGGUUGCCUCCCAACGAGCUCUAUCAUUUUGCGCCCCUAGCUAGGCAUAAGAUUUAAAUGAUGCUCACAUGAAAGAUAGUAAUUGAAACACAAAGAGAGCAUCAUGUAAGAGGUGAAAAACACAUUUAAGUCUAACAUACUUCCUAUGCAAAGGAAUUUUAUAGGCAAACAAAUUAUCAAGACAAGAAAUAUAUCUAGCAUAUGGAAAGGAGAGGAAUAAAACCUUGACAAUCUAACAAAAUGAGAGGUAAUUUAGUAACAUGAAAAUUUCUACAACCAUAUUUUCCUCUCUCAUAAUAAUUACAUGUAGGAUCAUACUCAAAUUCAACAAUAUAACUAUCACAAACAAUAUUAUCUUAUGAUCCACAUGCAUAAAAAUUUGACGCUCUUCCAAAUCAGUGGGAUUAUCAUCAAAUAAAGUCAUGACCUCUCCAAGACCACUUUCAUGAAAAAAUUCAUAAGAUUGAACACUCUACAAAUAAGUGGGGUUAUUUUUAGCUAAAGUUGACACUCUUCCAAACCCACUUUUAAUAUUAUUGCAAUCAUAUCAAUCAUGAAGUUUAAAUAAAUUUUGAAGAUCAUAAGAAUCAUUAUCACCCCAAUCAUGAUCAUUGCAAUAAGUAGUGGACAUAGCAAAACAAGCAUCCCCAAGCUUAGGGUUUUGCAUAUCACUAACACAAUUGACAUUAACGGAAUUUAUAAUAACAUCAUUGCAAUCAUGCUUUUCAUUCAAGGAGAUAUCAUGAAUCACAUUAUAAAUUCCUUCGUUUAACACUUCAUCACAAUUUUCAUAUUCAUAAAUCUCAAGCAAAACUUCAUAAUCAUAACCUAAUGAACCCAAUUCACUAGCAAUGGGUUCAUCAUAAUUGGAUCUCUUGAAAAGAUUAGCAAGUGGAUGAGCAUCCAUAUCAAUAGAUUUUUAGCAAGCGAAGAUGCAAGCAAAUAGAAGACACAUGGCAACACAAGCAAACAACAGAUCUGACAAGAAAAACGGCGAAUGGAAAAGAGGGCGAAUAAAACGGCAAAUUUUUGUGAAGUGGGGGAGAUGAAAACGAGAGGCAAAUGGCAAAUAAAGUAAAUUUAAAAGAGAUGAUAUUUGUGAUUAGGAACCUGGUAGAUGUUGAUGAUGUCUCCCCGGCAACGGUGUCUGAAAUUCCUUUUGAUGUCUGCUAGAACUACGUCAGUAUUUCCCCAAAGAGGAAGGGAUGAUGCAGCACAGCAAUGGUAGGUAUUUUCCUCAGUGACGAGACCAAGGUUAUCGAACUAGUAGGAGAGCCACGCAACACAACAUAAACAACUCCUGCACACAACUAACAAAUACUUGCAACCCGACGUGUUAAAGGGGUUGUCGGGUAAUGGCGCCAGAAAUUGGCAAGUGGACGUGAGAAAGUUGUAAUAGAUUGGCUAAAAAGAUCGCAAAUAAAGUAAAGUGUAGGAAAGUAUUUUUGUAUUUUUGGUUUAAUAGAUCUAAAAAUAAAAACAAAUAAAAAUAUAUCGUGAAGGCAAAUAUAUUAAAGAAGAGACCGGGGACCGUAGGUUUCACUAGUGGCUUCUCUCAAGAAAAAUAGCAAACGGUAGGAAAACAAAUUACUGUUGGGGAAUUUAUACAACUUCAAAUACUCAUGAUGAUAUCCAGGCAAUGAUCAUUAUAUAGGCAUCACGUUCAAUAUUAGUGGACCGACUCCAGCCUGCAUCUACUACUAUUACUCCACACAUCGACUGCUAUCCAGCAUGCAUCUAGUCUAUUAAGUUCAUGGAGAAACGGAGUAAUGCAAUAAGAACAAUGACAUGAUGUAGACAAGAUCCAUUUAUGUUGAAAUAGACCUCGUCUUGUUAUCCUUAAUAGCAACGAUACAUACGUGCCGGUUCCCCUUCUGUCACUGAGAUCAAGCACCGUAAGAUCGACCCAUUACAAAUCACCUCUUCCUGUUGCAAGAUAAAUAAAUCAAGAUGGCCAGACAAAACCCAGAUAUCGGAGAAGAAAUAUGAGCCUAUAAGCAAUCAUGCAUAUAAGAGAUCAAAAUACUUAAAUAACUUUCAUGGAUAAAAACAUAGAUCUGAUCAUAAACUCAAAGUUCAUCGGACCCCAACAAACACACCGCCAAAAGAGUUACACCAUAUGGAUCUCCAAGAGACCAUUGUAUUGAGAAUCAAACGAGAGAGCGAAAGCCAUCUAGCUACUAACUACGGACCCGUAGGUCUACAACGAACUACUCAGCAUCAUCGGAGAGGCACCAAUGAGGAUGAUGAACUCCUCCGUGAUGGUGUCUAGAUUGGAUGUGGUGUUUCUGGAACUUCCGGUGGCUGGAAUUGAUUUUCGUCGACUCCCCUAGGGUUUCUAGAAUAUUGGGUUAUUUAUAAAGCAAAGAGGCGGUGCGGGAGGCCACCGAGGUGGGCACAACCCACCUGCGCACGCCUAGGCCCCCAGGCGCGCCCUGGUGGGUUGUGCUCCCCUCGGAGCACCCCUUUGGUACUUCUUUGGCCCAACAUUUGUCUUCUGGUCCAGAAAAAUUCCACAAAAAGUUUUGCUGCGUUUGGACUCCGUUUGGUAUUGAUUUUCUGCGAUGUAAAAAACAAGCAGAAAACAACAACUCACAAUUGGCACUAUGUCAAUAGGUUAGUACCAAAAAAUGAUAUAAAAUGAUUAUAAAAUGAUUGUAAAACAUCCAGGAAUGAUAAUAUAACAGCAUGUAACAAUUAAAAAUUAUAGAUACAUUGGAGCCGUAUCAAUUCUCCCGACGACAGACUCGACCUCUACGACGCCCGGGGAGCCAUCCCUGACAAACCACGACCCUCGCCGCCAUCGCCGUCGUAUUAUUCGGUAACGACCAGCCACCCACCUCUCUCUCUCUCUCUCUCUCAACGACGACGUCCUCCACCUUUAGAUCUUGAUCGGACGACCAACGAAGAUCCGUUUUAUUUUAUUAAACGCCGAAACAUUUUUUUUCCUUCUCUUAGAUGUCCGUCAUCCGCCCGUAGUUCAAAAACACGCACCCCUUCGGCCAAUCACGUUGCACCACGUAGAAUUGGCCAAUCCGAAGCCUUUUUCAUUAUUUUAGUUUCUAUUUUUAUUUUCGGAUUAGUUUCAAAUUUGAUUUGCUUAUAUCUUAUAGUGUUUCUAAAGUUUUUUUGUGAUUCCAAUUGCAUUAGUUAAAUAAUUUUGUCUAGUUUCUAAAGUUCCAGUUUUGGCCAAGUUUGGAAAGUUUAAAUUUGAAUUUGGUGAAAUUUGUUCGUAACUUUUAUUUAAAAAUAGGUUUUUAAUUAUUUAUUUUUGCUCCUAUUUUCUAGUAGUUUUAUUUAACUAGUGAAUUAAUUAAAAAAUAGUAUAACUUAGAUCUGUUUAAAUUAGGAUUUAAAAAUAGAACCUUUUAUGCCAGUUUUUAGAGAUAGAAAAUUGUUUUCUUUUAAUUUAAAGUCAAUCUUUUUGUCACUUAGUUUAUUUAUAUUAAACCUUCUAUUAGUUAGUAAAAAAACUAUGUUUUAUAGAUAGAUAAAAUUGUUUUAGUCAAAUUCUUAGUUCAAACUUGCUUAGUAAAUAACUUAGGUUUUAUUUUAACUUAUUAAGUGUUUCUUUUUGCUAGUUAGAACCCUAGUUAAAUUAUUUGUUUCCGCUUAGUUGUUUUUCUAUUUUCUUUUCUGUUAAGUUAUUAGUUAAUUUUUUCCUUAUUUAAGUUCUAAUUAGGACAAAAACUAUUUUGUUGCAUGUAGUUAAGUCAUAGAGUUUUCUUUAGUAGUUUCUUUAUAGUUUUGUUUUGAAGUUUUCCUUUGAUUCUUAUUUGGUUUUUUCUUAUUAUUUUCUUUAUUGCUUUCAUUUGUUUGAGUGUUACUUUACUUGCUAGAUGUUAUUGCUUAUAUGAAUGCAAUGUUUGAAUUAAUAUAGAUUUCAUCGGAGAGUGACGAAUAGUCCUAUCAAGUAAUUUCUGAGAGCAAUAUAGUCUACAUCAACUAUACCAGGCAAGUUCACUUUGACCAUAUGUUUAUACCUAUGUUUUAUUGCAUUUAGUGUCACCAUUUAAACAAUUCCUCCGGUAAUUAUAUUGAAAUCUUGUAGUUGAGUAGAAGCAUGAGGUAGGAACCCACACGCCUGUUACUAAGCCCCGAGAUCGUUAUUUAUUUUAAUGCUACACUAUAGUAGACGGGGAUUGGUAUGGGUGUUCGUGGUGGUGUGAGAAGGAGGACUUUAUGUCAAUGAUGACAACUUCAAGAUGGCAACUCCAAGGCCUGCAUCUACAAGACCUCGAGACUUCAAGACUCAAGACAAGAUUUCAAUACACACUAAUGGCUGGAAUGGUCAGAGGUACGUGGGGAUAUAUCAAGGGGAUUACCUAAUGUGAGAUGGGGACCUGGGGUAGGCCAGUACUCAUGCAGAAAGUACCACCCAGACUCAAAGAGAUGGAAGAACACUUCAUGCCUGGAACCUUACCUGUGCAGCCACAAGUCAUUAUGGGAUCUGGCUUGGUUUAUCAUCAUAGUUACUCUGACUUGUCCAGUGUUACGAGAGGUCGAUUUAUGGUAGGGUUGGAUGGGCACUAGCGAUUGUUAGGGAAACACUUUGAAAGACCAUGUUUCAGUCAUCAUGUUCUCAAGCACCCUGUAGUGCAAGAAAGUAAAGGGAGGGAUUGAAUCCUAUGGGUAAAGUGCACAAAACUCUGCAGCGUAAAACCUAAUCGAUUAGUCAUGUCCCUGGUUACAGACAAUUUGAGCCUCUGGACCUAGAUUUAUCUCGGAACUCUCAACACUGAACUCAUAAUUAAUUGUGGGCAACUUAUAAUUAUGGGUUAUGAGACAUCGGUUGGUGGAACCAUGUCAUAUUAGAUAACUCUGUAGUUAUCUUUUGUUAUAGGAAAAUUUGUUGAUGCUUGACAAUCUUUUGUUAUAGGAAAAAAUCUAGCUUUUCUACAAAAACUCACACAUGGAGCCAAAAAGCCAUAUUGCAUAUAGACUAGUCUUUUUCAUCUUCCCUCUAUUAAGAUCUUGCCGGUACAUUCUAUGUACUGACCUACAGGGCUGCAACUUUUCAGGUUGCAGAUAUUUCUACGUCGAUUAAGAGUUACGAUAUAGGGUUAUGGUCUCCACUCAGCUUGUCGUUGGCGUUGAUGGGACUCCACACCCAUAUUGAUUUGUUUCCGUUGUGAUACAUAUAAAAUAUACUCUGGAUAUACGAUAUUUAUUUUAUAUGUGAUGUUAUGGUAUUUCAUCAAAGUACUGUGUGUGUCAGCAUACUGAUCCAUGCAUAGAAAGCACAGAGACUUGGCCGUGUUGGGUUGGGUCGCUACAGGUAAUCAUAAGUGGGUUGCUUGUUCAAGUAAGAACAGCACCCAAGCACCAGUCCACACACAUAUCAAAUUAGCGAGCGUGAAUCAACUAAACAUGAUGAACGUGACUAGAAGGCAAUUCCCAUGUGUCCUCGAGAGUGAUCAUAUCCAACUUCCGGACCAGAAUCCGGCCACAUUUGAGGAGUUUAUUCAAACACAUCAAUAAAUUUCACAUCGGCCAACUCACGAGCAGCUCAAGGAGGAUGUGAUUGAGCAUCAGUGGACGGUGAAAUGGGACAACAAUGUUGGGAUGUAAAAUAUUUGAACUUUUCUAAAUUUUAACUAGUGACGCAUGCGGCUAUAUGAACUUAUGUGCCCUUUGCAUGCGACUGCUUGAUUGUGUGGACCCGAAAAAAACCCGAAAGGCAGGAUGUAUGCGGCUUCUGUUGGAUGACUGUCUCUCGCUUUUGUGUCCGCAGACUGGUUCCCCCUAUCCCCGGACGGAUGCGGGAGGUUUUUUGCGGGUUGGCAUUGGAGAUGCCCUUAAGGGACACAACAAUGUUAGAUUAUAAUAUUUUAGACCAUAUUAUAGUCCAUAUUUGAGGUUAUUUAAACAUGGGGACUUAUAAAAAAAGUGAGGUCGAAUGUAUGCGAGUAGCAUUGGAUGGCUGGCUCUUGCGGAUAAAAAUGCCCUAGUUACCCCUUCCUAUCAUGCAACAUUAGUACUCCCUCCGUUUCAAAAUAUAGUGCGCCCUCGUUUCCUGAGGUUCAACUUUGAUCAUAAAUUUAACCAACGAGACCGACUGCGGUGGGAUCAAAAAUUAUAUGAUUGAAAACUUCUUUUGAAUACGAAUUUAUUAGUACCUUUUGCUUCUCGAUUAAAUUUAUGAUCAAAAUUGAAGCACGACAACCAAUUUGAAACGGAGGGGGGAAGUAGUGUUUAUCUUUUCCCAAAAUCAUCUGGGCACUGCACAAUGGACUGUGGACUUUGGAGUGGAAGCAAAGCAAGCCACCUAGUACGUCACCUAGUACGCUGACAAACCCCCAGUUAAACAAAGAAUCAACGAUUUCAUGACAGGGGUGAGGUGACAGUGUACUCCACGAACAGGCCGGAAAGCUCCUCAGCCACGAAUGAUUGAUUCCACGAGGGAUAAAAUACCCCAAUAAUUACACGGUGCCGCCCCUCGUUUCCUCCGUUCCUCCAACUUGGCAGGCUAUCGUGUCUCAUGUCUCUUCGUUUGACUGAGCCCAGGACCCCAGGUCAUGAGUGUCACGGGCACGACCUCAGUGGCGCAUGCAACGGCGACCUCCGCUGCACUCGGCGCGGCGCUGCAGACACAGACACACACACACACUGCCUGCCGCUACUGACCGGCAGGAAAACGUCGAGGAAACGGGCGGAGUUUACCGUGUCGACCGUCAGAUGCUGUCAAAAAUCUCCGUGACAAGUGCAACUCGAUCGAGUACCUACCUGCCGUCCUGGCCUGGAUCUGCUUUUACACAGCUUUCAAUUCGGGCCCUCUCUGCCCGAGCACGUGUCUUUUAACUGUAGGCUGUCUUUUUAUUAUGUGUAGCGCUCGAGAUACAUCAAAAUGAAUAAAAGGGAAUGGAUCUAGACAUAUUUUAGUUCUAGAUACAUCUAUUUUUAUCUAUUUUGAUGACAAGUAUUUUCGGACGGAGGGAGUAUCAGAAUGAUCGAUCUCUUUCGUUUCCACAGCGGCCGGGAUCGACGGAAGAUUCAACGGAACAGGGAUGGAGUACCCGAGACCACGCAACGUGCGCUCUGCCGCCGCUCAAUGUAUGCCUACGUACCGUCGGGUGGCCAGAGGGGAGUGUUGACAAGUAGCCCGACGCCGACGGCCAAUGAUCGCAGAGCACUUGUAGUGACGUCGUACCUGAACCGAAACUUGAGUAUCCACCAGGACAUGCAAAGCUGUUAUUCAUUCGAUCGAACCGGACGGGUGGACGCCCAGCCUAGACGGGAACCAGGUUGGCAUGCUCGGUGGACUGAGUUGACAAGUCGUCAAUCGCGGCUAUAUAUUGCAACCACUCGAAGCGACCUCCAUAACCCAAGUCUUUGCCAGUAUACGUCAUCGGGGUUUUCAAGCUCAACCAAAGCUUCUGUGAUAAGUAUGAAAAAUUAAUCAGAGACUUCUGGUGGGGAGACAAGGAUGAACAUAGAAAAGUUCAUUGAAUGUCAUGGGAGAAUAUGACAAAACCUAAGAGGGAUGGAGGCAUAGGUUUUCGAGAUAUGCAUUAUUUCAAUCAAGCGCUGCUAGCCAGGCAGGGAUGGAGGCUGUUGCAAUUUCCGAAUAGUUUGUGUGCACGGGUUCUAAAAUCUAAAUACUACCCCAACGGUGAAUUACUAAAUAUUGUAUUCUCCUCAGAUGCUUCCCCCGCGUGACGAGGCAUUGAAUUUGGACUCGAGCUUCUGAAAAAGGGUCUCAUCUGGAGAGUGGGUAGCGGAAGGAAAAUCCAAAUUGAGAGAGACCAAUGGAUUCCACGAGACGAAGACCUAAAAACAGCGCGUUUCAUAAGCCGCUCUAGACUGAGAUGGGUCAACCAGCUAAUGCUUUCGGACACAAAGGAAUGGAACAUUGACCUCAUAAGGAGAAUUUUUCAUGCUUUUGAUGCAGACGAAAUCUGCAAAAUCCGAAUCCCCGCUGCUGAAGUAGAGGAUUGUGUGGCUUGGCACUAUGAAAAGUCCGGCGUCUUUACUGUCAGGAGCGCCUACAAACUUGCCGUCACACUAAGAAGAAAUGGAAGGGAGGCUCCCUCUAGAUCGUCGAGUGAACCCGGGAACAGAAGCAUUUGGGAUGUCAUAUGGAAAGCAAACAUUCCAGAGAAAAUAAAAAAAUGGGUGGAGAGUGGCGAUCCAAGCUUUGGCAACAAAACACAACACCUUCAGAAGGACCAUUGUGAAGGAAGAUACAUGUGAUUUAUGUGGAAUGGAAAGUGAAGAUGAGUUCCAUGCGGUUGUUUCAUGCACAAGAAGCAGGGCGUUGAGAGCUGCCAUGAGGGUUAAAUGGGACAUCCCCAAGGAAGUUGAGUUCAGACGAACGGAAGAGGAUUGGCUUCAGAACCUUCUUCUGCCACAAUCAGCUAGCAUCAGAAACAAUAACUUGAUGAUACUGUGGAAACCUGGAGCCUCAGGAACAACACCAUUCAUGGGGAUGGGAAGGAUACUGUCACGGGAGCAGUGCAUCAACUUGGGCGAAGAUUUGUUAGCGGCCGAGCAGGCUGUUAACAUGCCUGAUAGCAAGCAAGCAAUCACACUUUUUGAUUAGAGCACAACCAAGCCUGUACCCCUGAAAAAUAAUCGUUGGAUAGCACCUGCAGCUGGAUAUGUAAAAAUCAAUUGUGAUGCGGCCUUUCUUAAAGAAUCAGGGGACACUUGGGAAGGAGCAGUAGCUCGAGAUCAUCGGAGUUUUGUCCACUUAUCUGUUGGACGCCGGCUGAACCAGUGCAACUCGGUAGAAGAGGCGGAGGCAGCUGUUGUACUGAUGGGAAUGUCUGAACUGUUGAACGUUUAUGGGGGACCUAUAAUCCUGGAGGUGGAUUGCGCUGUAGUGGGACCGGAACUUGCUCUUGGAGGAUCCCUGCAAGUCGUCUAGCUAUGCAAUCAUAGCUGACAUUAAGAAGACCUUAAAUGCCUUCCAAAGGUUUGAGGUCAGGGUGAUCAACAGAGCUCAGAACGAGCUGGCUCACCAGAUUGCAGCCACAACAAGGGUAUCAGGUGACAACAAAGUGGUGGUAGGAGUGCAUGAUUCAGUGAGGCAAGAGAUGGUUGAGGAGUAUAUUACUACCAUUGCAUAGUGUACGCAUGGUUCUAAAAAAACAACUAAGCUGAUAGAGUAGUCGUGUCAGCGCCCCUGACAAGGCGAGACCGUCCACAAGGACUCAAGGUACCAGUGAUGCACGGGCCAAGCGUACAUGGGUUGCCAACGCACAAGUCAGUGGGCCGGGCUGGGUAACCGCAGCCCAACUUCUUCCACCCGCUACUUAACCGGCAUCGCUGGGAAGGGAGAACCAUCUAGAGGAUCAGGCACCCGGCGGCCGGCUACCUACUACUGUUCCCCAAUCGCAUGAACCCUAACUAUGAUACUUGCAAUCAAGUUGUAAUUGCCACCUUAAAUCAUACUUUAUGUGAGAAUUGCUGCCAAGUAAUUGAGAGGCUAGCUCAUCCCUAUCAUCUGGUAUUAGAGACAACCCACCGCCCUCUCCAUUCGCUCUAGCGAAACGCGUCAAGGCCAGAAGCCUGCGCCAAGCCCGAGCGCAGUUGGAAGCGAUGGAUCCCGGCGUCUUCGUGUUUCUCACCAAGCUGGAGGCCAACCUCGAAGCCAAGAUCGAUGCUCAAACCAAGGCCCAGCAGGUCACGUCGACCAAGAUCGACGAGCUCCUCAUGUGGCGCCCCGAUCUGGAGCGCCACGUCGCGGAUCUCAGCGAGGCGGUGACCGCGCUACAACUGGCACAACCACCAGCGCCCAAGGUGUUGGGGAACGUAGCAGAAAUUCAAAAUUUUCCUACGUGUCACCAAGAUCUAUCUAUGGAGAAACCAGCAACGAGAGGAAGGAGAGUGCAUCUACAUACCCUUGUAGAUCGCUAAGCGGAAGCGUUCAAGAGAACGGGGUUGAAGGAGUCGUACUCGUCGUGAUCCAAAUCACCGAAGAUCCUAGUGCCGAACGGACGGCACCUCCGCGGUCAACACACGUACAGCCCGGUAACGUCUCCCAUGCCUUGAUCCAGCAAGGAGAGAGGGAGAGGUUGAGGAAGACUCCAUACAGUAGCAGCACAACGGCGUGGUGGUGGUGGGGGAGCGUGGCAAUCCUGCAGGGCUUCGCCAAGCACCGCGAGAUAUGAGGAGAAAGAGAGGUAGGGCUGCGCCAACACGAGAAGAACUUCAUGUGUUGGGCUGCUCCUUUGCCUCCACUAUAUAUAAGGGGAGAGGGGGGCUGCGCCCCCACCUAGGGUUCCACCCUAGGGGCGGCGGCCAGCCCAAGAUCCCAUCUGAGGGGCGGCCAAGGGGGGAGAGGGGAAACUUGCCCCCCAAGUUAGGUGGGUGCGCCCCCCUCCCUAAACCCUAGGCGCCUUAGGCCCUUGUGGGGGGGCGCACCAGCCCACCUGGGGCUGGUCCCCUCCCACACUUGGCCCAUGCAGCCCUCCGGGGAUGGUGGCCUCACUUGGUGGACCCCCGGGACCCUCCCGGUGGUCCCGGUACGUUACCGAUAAAACUCGAAACCUUUUCGGUGACCAAAACAGGACUUCCCAUAUAUAAAUCUUUACCUCCGGACCAUUCCGGAACUCCUUGUGAUGUCCGGGAUCUCAUCCGGGACUCCGAACAACAUUUGGUAACCACAUACAAACUUUCUUUAUAACCCUAGCGUCAUCGAACCUUAAGUGUGUAGACCCUACGGGUUCGGGAACCAUGCAGACAUGACCGAGACGUUCUCCGGUCAAUAACCAACAGCGGGAUCUGGAUACCCAUGUUGGCUCCCACAUGUUCCACGAUGAUCUCAUCGGAUGAACCACGAUGUCAAGGACUCAAUCAAUCCCAUAUACAAUUCCCUUUGUCUAGCGGUAUUGUACUUGCCCGAGAUUCGAUCGUCGGUAUACCGAUACCUUGUUCAAUCUCGUUACCGGCAAGUCUCUUUACUCGUUCCGUAACACAUCAUCCCGCGAUCAACUCUUUGAUCACAUUGUGCACAUUAUGAUGAUGUCCUACCGAGUGGGCCCAGAGAUACCUCUUCGUUUACACGGAGUGACAAAUACCAGUCUCGAUUCGUGCCAACCCAACAGACACUUUCGGAGAUACAUGUAGUGCACCUUUAUAGCCACCCAAUUAUGUUGUGACGUUUGGUACACCCAAAGCAUUCCUACGGUAUCCAGGAGUUGCACAAUCUCAUGGUCUAAGGAAAUGAUACUUGACAUUAGAAAAGCUUUAGCAUACGAACUACGAUCUUUGUGCUAGGCUUAGGAUUGGGUCUUGUUCAUCACAUCAUUCUUCUAAUGAUGUGAUCCCGUUAUCAACGACAUCCAAUGUCCAUGGUCAGGAAACCGUAUCCAUCUGUUGAUCAACGAGCUACUUAACUAGAGGCUUACUAGGGACAUGGUGUUGUCUAUGUACCCACACAUGUAUCUGAGUUUCCUAUCAAUACAAUUAUAGCAUGGAUAAUAAACGAUUAUCAUGAACAAGGAAAUAUAAUAAUAACUAAUUUAUUAUUGCCUCUAGGGCAUAUUUCCGACAGUCUCCCACUUGCACUAGAGUCAAUAAUCUAGUUCACAUCGCCAUGUGAUUAACACUCACAGGUCACAUCACCAUGUGACCAACAUCCAAAGAGUUUACUAGUUCACAUCAUCAUGUGAUAAGACUCAAUGAGUUCUGGGGUUUGAUCAUGUUUUGCUUGUGAGAGAGGUUUUAGUCAACGGGUCUGCAACAUUCAGAUACGUAUAUACUUCGCAAAUCUCUAGGUCAUAUUGUAAAUACUACUUCCACGCUCCACUUGGAGCUAUUCCAAAUGGUUGCUCCACUAUACGUAUCCGGUUUGCUACUCAAAGUCACUCGGAUAGGUGUUAAAGCUUGCAUCGACGUAACCCUUUACGCCGAACUCUUUAUCACCUCCAUAAUCGAGAAACAUGUCCUUAUUUACUCCAAGGACAAUUUUGACCGCUGUCCAGUGAUCCAUUCCUGGAUCAUUCUUGUACCCCUUGACUGACUCAUGGCAAGGCACACUUCCGGUGCAGUACACAACAUAGCAUAUUAUAGAGCCUACGUCUGAAGCAUAGGGGACGACAUUCGUCCUUUCUCUCUCUUCUGCCAUGGUCGAGCUUUAACUCUUAACUUCAUACCUUACAACUCAGGCAAGAACUCCUUCUUUGACUGAUCCAUCUUGAAUCUUCAAGAUCAUGUCAAGGUAUGUGCUCAUUUGAAAGUACCAUUUAGCGUUUUUGAUCUAUCCUCAUAGAUCUUGAUGCUCAAUGUUCAAGUAGCUUAAUCCAGGUUUUCCAUUGAAAAACAAUUUCCAAAUAACCCUAUAUGCUUUCCAGAAAUUCUACAUCAUUUCUGAUCAACAAUAUGUCAACAACAUAUACUUAUCAGAAAUUCUAUAGUGCUCCCACUCACUUCUUUGGAAAUACAAGUUUCUCAUAAACUUUGUAUAAACCCAAAAUCUUUGAUCAUCUCAUCAAAGCAUACAUUCCAACUCUGAGAUGCUUACUCCAGUCCUUAGAAGGAUCGCUAGAGCUAGCAUACCUUUUAGCAUCCUUAGGAUCGACAAAACCUUUCUGAUUGUAUCGCAUACAACCUCUCCUUACGAAAACUGGUAAGGAAACUCGUUUUGACAUCCAUCUGCCAGAUUUCAUAAAUGCAGCUUGUUCUAACAUGAUUCCGACGGACUUUAAGCAUCCCUACGGAUGAGAAAAUCUCAUCGUAGUCAACUCCUUGAACUUGUGAAAAACUCUUUGCCACAAGUCGAGCUUCAUAGAUGGUAACAUUACCAUCCACGUCCGUCUUUUUCUUAAAGAUCCAUUUAUCUCAAUGGCUAGUCGAUCAUUGGGCAAGUCCACCAAAGUCCAUGCUUUGUUCUGAUACAUGGAUCCUAUCUCGGAUUUCAUGGCUUCUAACCAUUUGUAGGAAUUUGGGCCCACCAUCGCUUCUCCAUAGCUUGUAGGUUCAUUGUUGUCUAGCAACAGGACCUUCAAGACAGGAUUACUGUACCAUUCUGAAGUAGUACGCAUCCUAGUGACUUGAUCCAAAGUUUCAUGAUCACUAUCAUAAGCUUCUACUUCAAUUGGUGUAGGUGCCACAGGAACAACUUCCUGUGCCCUGCUACACACUAGUUGUAGUGAUGGUUCAAUAACCAUAUCAAGUCUCCACCAUUCUCCCACUCAACUUUUCGAGACAAACUUUUCCUCGAGAAAGGACCCGGUUCAAGAAACAAUCCCUAUUACUUUCGGAUCUGAAUUAGGAGGUAUACCCAACUGUUUUGGGUGUCCUAUGAAGAUGCAUUUUAUCCGCUUUGGGUUCGAGCUUAUCAACCUGAAACCUUUUCACAUAAGCGUCGCAGCCCCAAACCUUUAAGAAACGACAACUUAGGUUUCUCCAAACCACAGUUCAAAUGGUGUCGUCUCAACGGAAUUACGUGGUGCCCUAUUAAAGUGAGUGCGGUUGUCUCUAAUGCCUAACCCAUGAACGAUAGUGUUAAUUCGAUAAGAGACAUCGUGGUACGCACCAUAUCCAAUAGGGUGCAACUAUGAUGUUCGGACACACCAUCACACUAUGGUGUUCCAGGCGGUAUUAAUUGUGAAACAAUUUCCACAAUGUCUUAAUUGCGUGCCAAAGCUUGUAACUCAGAUACUCAUCUCUAUGAUCAUAUCAUAGACAUUUUAUCCUCUUGUCACAAUGAUCUUCAACUUCACUCUGAAAUUACUUGAACCAUUCAAUAAUUCAGACUUGUGUUUCAUCAAGUAAAUAUACUCAACAUCUACUCGAAUCAUUUGUGAAGUGAGAACAUAACGAUAUUCACUGCAUGCCUCAGCACUCAUUGGACUGCACACAUCAAAAUGUGUUACUUCCAACAAGUUGCUAUCUUGUUCCAUCUUACUGAAAACGAGGCUUUUCAGUCAUCUUGCACAUGUGGUAUGAUUUGCAUAUCUCAAGUGAUUCAAAAUCAAGUGAGUCCAAACGAUCCAUCUGCAUGGAGUUUCUUCAUGCGUAUACACCAAUAGACAUGGUUCGCAUGUCUCAAACUUUUCAAAAACGAGUGAGUCCAAAGAUCCAUCAACAUGGAGCUUCUUCAUGUGUUUUAUACCAAUAUGACUUACAUGGCAGUGCCACAAGUAAGUGGUACUAUCAUUACUAUCUUAUAUCUUUUGGCAUGAAAAUGUGUAUCACUACUAUCGAGAUUCAAUAAACCAUUCCUUUAGGUGCAAGACCAUUGAAGGUAUUAUUCAAAUGGAGUAACCAUUAUUCUCCUUAAAUGAAUAACCGUAUUGCGAUAGACAUAAUCCAAUCAUGUCUAUGCUUCAACGCAAACACCAAACUCGAUGGUAGAGGGAGCGUGCGAUGCUUGAUCACAUCAAGAUUUGAAAACACUUCCAACACAUAUCGUCAGCUCACCUUUAGCUAGUCUCCGUUUAUUUUGUAGCCUUUUAUUUUGAGUUACUAACACUUAGCAACCGAACCGGUAUCUUAAUACCCUCAUGCUACCAGGAGUACUAGUAAAGUACACAUUAACAUAAUGUAUAUCCAAUAUACUUCUAUCGACCUUGCCAGCCUUCUCAUCUACCAAGUAUCUAGGGUAAUUCUGCUCCAGUGGCUGUUUCCCUUAUUACAGAAGCACUUAGUCUCGGGUUUGGGUUCAACCUUGGGUUUCUUCACUAGAGCAGCAGCUAAUUUGCCGUUUCAUGAAGUAUCCCUUCUUGCCCUUGCCCUUCUUGAAACUAGUGGUUUCACCAACCAUCAACAAUUGAUGCUCCUUCUUGAUUUCUACUUUCGCGGUGUUAAACAUCACGAAUACCUCAAGGAUCAUCAUAUCUAUCCCUGAUAUGUUAUAGUUCAUCGCGAAGCUCUAGCAGCUUGGUGGCAAUGACUUUGGAGAAACAUCACUAUCUCUGGAAGAUCAACUCCCACUUGAUUCAAGUGAUUGUCGCACUCAGACAAUCUGAGCACAAGCUCAACGAUUGAGCUUUUCUCCCUUAGUUUGCAGGCUAAGAAAAUCGUCGGAGGUCUCAUACCUCUUGAUGUGGGCACGAUCCUGAAAUCCCAAUUUCAGCCCUCGAAACAUCUCAUAUGUUUCGUGAUGUUUCGAAAAACGUCUUUGGUGCCUCAACUCUAAACCGUUUAACUGAACUAUCACGUAGUUAUCUAAACGUGUAUGUCCGAUGUUCGCAACAUCCAUAAACGACGUUUGGGGUUCAGCACACUGAGCGGUGCAUUAAGGACAUAAGCUUUCUACUGUCCGCAUAAUCGCUACUGUCAACUUUCAACUAUAUUUUCUCUAGGAACAUAUCUAAACAGUGGAACUAAAGCGCGAGCUUACGACAUAAUUUGCAAAGAUCUUUUGACUAUGUUCAGGAUAAUUAAGUUCAUCUUAUGAACUCCCACUCAGAUAGACAUCACUCUAGUCAUCUAAGUGAUUACAUGAUCCGAGUCAAUUAGGUCGUGUCCGAUCAUCACGUGAGACGGACUAGUCAUCAUAAUUGAACAUCUUCAUGUUGAUCGUAUCUACUAUACGACUCAUGCUCGACCUUUCGGUCUCUUGUGUUCCGAGGCCAUGUCUGUACAUGCUAGGCUCGUCAAGUCAACCUAAAUGUUUCGUGUGUGUAAAUCUGGCUUACACCCAUUGUAUGUGAACAUAAGAAUCUAUCACACCCGAUCAUCACGUGGUGCUUCGAAACGAUGAACUUUCGCAGCGGUGCACAGUUAGGGGGAACACUUUCUUGAAAUUUUAAUGAGGGAUCAUCUUAUUUACUACCGUCGUUCUAAGCAAAUAAGAUGCAUAAACAUGAUAAACAUCACAUGCAAUCAAAUAGUGACAUGAUAUGGCCAAUAUCAUAUUGCUCCUUUUGAUCUCCAUCUUCGGGGCUCCAUGAUCAUCAUCGUCACCAGCGUGACACCAUGAUCUCCAUCAUCAUGAUCUCCAUCAUCGUGUCUCCAAGAAGUUGUCUCGCCAACUUAUCACUUCUACUACUAUGGCUACCGGUUAGCAAUAAAGUAAAGUAAUUACAUGGCGCUGUUCAAUGACAGGCAGGUCAUACAAUAAAUAAAGACAACUCCUAUGGCUCCUGCCGGUUGUCAUACUCAUCGACAUGCAAGUCGUGAUUCCUAUUACAAGAACAUGAUCAAUCUCAUACAUCACAUAUCAUUCAUCACAUUCUUCUUGGCCAUAUCACAUCACAUAGCAUACCCUGCAAAAACAAGUUAGACGUCCUCUAAUUGUUGUUUGCAUGUUUUACGCGGCUGCUAUGGGUUUCUAGCAAGAACGUUUCUUACCUACGCAAAAACCACAACAUGAUAUGUCAAUUGCUAUUUACCCUUCAUAAGGACCCUUUUCAUCGAAUCCGUUCCGACUAAAGUGGGAGAGACUGGCACCCGCUAGCCACCUUAUGCACCAACUGCAUGUCAGUCGGUGGAACCUGUCUCACGUAAGAGUACGUGUAAGGUCGGUCCGGGCCGCUUCCUCCCACAAUAUCGUCGAAACAAGAUUGGACUAGUAACGGUAAGCAUAUUGAACAAAAUCAACGCCCACAACUACUUUGUGUUCUACUCGUGCAAAGAAUCUACGCAAUAGACCUAGCUCAUGAUGCCACUGUUGGGGAACGUAGCAGAAAUUCAAAAUUUUCCUACGUGUCACCAAGAUCUAUCUAUGGAGAAACCAACAACGAGAGGAAGGAGAGUGCAUCUACAUACCCUUGUAGAUCGCUAAGCGGAAGCGCUCAAGAGAACGGGGUUGAAGGAUUCGUACUCGUCGUGAUCCAAAUCACCGGAGAUCCUAGAGCCGAACGGACGGCACCUCCGCGUUCAACACACGUACAAACCCGGUGACGUCUCCCAUGCCUUAAUCCAGCAAGGAGAGAGGGAGAGGUUGAGGAAGACUCCAUCCAGCAGCAGCACAACGGUGUGGUGGUGGUGGAGGAGCGUGGCAAUCCUGCAGGGCUUCGCCAAGCACCGCGAGAUAUGAGGAGAAAGAGAGGUAGGGCUGCGCCAACAUGAGAAGAACUUCGUGUGUUGGGCUGCUCCUUUGCCUCCACUAUAUAUAGAGGGGAGGGGGGGCUGCGCCCCCACCUAGGGUUCCACCCUAGGGGCGGCGGCCAGCCCAAGAUCCCAUCUGAGGGGCGGCCAAGGGGGGGGAGAGGGGAAACUUGCCCCCCAAGUUAGGUGGGUGCGCCCCCCUCCCUAAACCCUAGGCGCCUUAGGCCCUUGUGGGGGGGCGCACCAGCCCACCUGGGGCUGGUCCCCUCCCACACUUGGCCCAUGCAGCCCUCCGGGGAUGGUGGCCUCACUUGGUGGACCCCCGGGACCCUCCCGGUGGUCCCGGUACGUUACCGAUAAAACCCGAAACCUUUUCGGUGACCAAAACAGGACUUCCCAUAUAUAAAUCUUUACCUCCGGACCAUUCCGGAACUCCUCGUCAAAUCCGGGAUCUCAUCAGGGACUCCGAACAACAUUCGGUAACCACAUACAAACUUCCUUUAUAACCCUAGCGUCAUCGAACCUUAAGUGUGUAGACCCUACGGGUUCGGGAACCAUGCAGACAUGACCGAGACGUUCUCCGGUCAAUAACCAACAGCGGGAUCUGGAUACCCAUGUUGGCUCCCACAUGUUCCAUGAUGAUCUCAUCGGAUGAACCACGGUGUCAAGGACUCAAUCAAUCCCGUAUACAAUUCCCUUUGUCUAGCGGUAUUGUACUUGCCCGAGAUUCGAUCGCUGGUAUGCCGAUACCUUGUUCAAUCUCGUUACCGGCAAGUCUCUUUACUCGUUCCGUAACACAUCAUCCCGUGAUCAACUCUUUGAUCACAUUGUGCACAUUAUGAUGAUGUCCUACCGAGUGGGCCCAGAGAUACCUCUCCGUUUACACGGAGUGACAAAUCCCAGUCUCGAUUCGUGCCAACCCAACAAACACUUUCGGAGAUACCUGUAGUGCACCUUUAUAGCCACCAAGUUACGUUGUGACGUUUGGUACACCCAAAGCAUUCCUACGGUAUCCGGGAGUUGCACAAUCUCAUGGUCUAAGGAAAUGAUACUUGACAUUAGAAAAUCUUUAGCAUACGAACUACGAUCUUUGUACUAGGCUUAGGAUUGGGUCUUGUCCAUCACAUCAUUCUUCUAAUGAUGUGAUCCCAUUAUCAACGACAUCCAAUGUCCAUGGUCAGGAAACCGUAACCAUCUGUUGAUCAACGAGCUAGUUAACUAGAGGCUUACUAGGGACAUGGUGUUGUCUAUGUACCCACACAUGUAUCUGAGUUUCCUAUCAAUACAAUUAUAGCAUGGAUAAUUAACGAUUAUCAUGAACAAGGAAAUAUAAUAAUAACUAAUUUAUUAUUGCCUCUAGGGCAUAUUUCCAACACAAGGAUGGUAAUGCGGACCUGGCGGCUCGCGAUCCGCCCCAACCUCCGCCUGCGACACACAUCGUCCCCGUCGGACCCGUGACUGGCACGGCAACCCAUCAUCUAGGGCCCCACGGUAUCUUCAACCUACCACGGGGGCCGUCGACGGUGUCAUUCUAGACACCACCGUCGCUCCCGGCCAGCGGUCAGUCCAAUUACCUUCUGUCACCUUCAGUCUUAUCCCCUUUUGCUCACGCACGUCAGAUGUUGGCUGGUCUGGGCCGAGCCCACCCUUCUAUCGCGUUUCCGCAGUUCACAUGAGAGAACCCGAACUUGUGGAAAACCUUGUGUGAGCAAUAUUCCUCCAUGUUUGGAAUCCAUGCUACUUUCUGGGUUCCCAUGGCCGCACUCAAUUUCACUGGCACCGCUUCCGUUUGGUUACAAACGAUCUAAAAAUGGUUGGCUGAGUUUGAUUGGGACUCGUUUACUUCCCUAAUAUGCACAUGUUUUGGCCGCGAUCGGCAUCAGAUGCUGACUCGACAGUUUUACACUGUGAGGCAAGCAUCAUCUGUUGCAGACUACAUCGAGAAAUUUGAGUUAAUCAUUAAUCAUUUGAGUUCUACUCUGAAUCGAUUCAUCCUUACUAUUUUCUCACUCAAUUUGUGGAGGGACUGAGGAUGGAUAUCCGAGCAGUGGUACUCGUCCAGCGGCCACCGACUUUGAUACGGCGUGCGUCCUCGCCUUGCUGCAGGAGGAGGUGGCGAAUGGCACAUUCGGGUCUCUUCCUCGACCACCGACCCGAUCUAGCAUACGGCUACUACACUACUGCUGCCACCACCUCCGACCCGGCCAGCGCCUUCCUCGGGCGCUACCGAUCAUGAAGACACUACGGGAAUAUCGUCGCGCCCAUGGCCUCUGUUUCAAGUGCAGCGAGCGAUGGGGGCACGACCACGUGUGCCCCACCUCUGUCCAACUCCAUGUCAUCGAGAAGCUCCUCGACCUCUUCGGCAUCGAUAACACCAUCGACAUGCAUCUGCCUCCACCGGAUGACACGGUGAUGGCCAUCUCCAAGUCCGACGUCUUAGGCGGGGUCUCCGCCAAGGCUUUUUAGCUAUGAGAUUGGAUACAAGGUCGGGAGGUGCUCAUGUUAGUCGAGUCCGGCAGCAUAAACUCUUUCAUCGACUCUGCGUUGGCAAAUCAAUUGGCGUGCGUCCAACCACUUCCGUGCGCUUAUCGCAUGCGGGUCACUGACGAUGGGGAGAUGCUCUGCUCCACGGUCGUCCCAAACUGUGUGUGGUGCUUGCAAGGACACGAGUAUGACGCCAUAGUGGGAAUGGACUGGCUAGAAGCCAACAGUCCGAUGACAGUGGACUCGCGCGCCAGGCACCUGGAAUUCUAGUCGCCAGCAGGAACCAUCAGUCUUCAAGGGCAUGAAGGCACAUCCACGACCUGCUUCCUCAUCAACAGCGUGCAACUCAAGGGAUUGUGCAAGAACAACGCCAUUACACAUGUGGUGCAUCUCUAUGUUACUACCAGCAACGAAGCUAAGUCCACACUCCACACCAACUCCUCCCUGUUUGCAACAGAUUCUGGAUGACUUUGCUGAUGUGUUUGGCACACCAAAAGGGCUUUCACCAAAAAGGUCAUGUGAUCACCACAUUCCUCUGUUACCCGGCACGUCACCAUUUAGUAUCAGGCCUUACAGACACAAACCAGAGCAUAAGGAUGAAAUCGAGCGGCAAGUGGCUGAGCUACUCAAAGCGAGGCUGAUUCAUGUCAGCAAAAUCCCUUUCUCUUGCCCGGUCAUUCUGGUCAAGAAGAAGGACGGUCCAUGGCGCCUCUGCAUUGAUUAUCGACACCUCAACACACUCACGUGCAUCUCCAAGUUUUUGAUCCCAGUCAUAGAGGAAUUGUUGGAUGAGCUACAGGGCGCACAGUGGUUCUCAAGACUCGACCUGCGCGCGGGAUACCACAAGAUCAGGAUUGCAGAGGGUGAUGAGUACAAGAGACGGCUUUUCAAACCCAUUUCGGGUAGUUCGAGUAUAAGGUAGUAUUCUUUGGGCUAGCAGGAGCACCGGGCACUUUCAACUGCGCAGUGCAUACCACUCUCAAACCUGUUAAUAGGAAGUGUUCGAUACUCUUCUUUGAUGACAUCAUGGUGUUCAGUGAAACCUUGGAGCAGCACCGAGAGGAUCUCAGGGAGGUGUAGGCGCUGCUGUGCAAAGAUCAGUGGAAAGUCAAGGCAUUUAAGUGCGUGUUCGGUCAGCAACAAAUUUCUUACCUGGGGCAUGUCAUCAGUCCACAAGGGGUUGAUACGUCCAUUUUGCAUCAUGUUUACCUACUGUUAUUUAUAUUGUUUAUAUGCUUAAUAAUGCUUUUUGGAGUAAUUCUUAUGUCUUUUCUCUCAUAAUAUGCAAGGUUCACACAAAGAGGGAGAAUUUCGGCAGUUGGAAAUCUGAACCUGAAAAAGCUAUGUCAGGCCACCUAUUCUGCACAACUCCAAAUGAGCUGGAACUUCAUGAGGAAUUUUUAUGAAAUAAAUAAGAAAUAAUGAAGCAAAUAACUACCGGAGGGGGCCCACCUGGUGAGCACAAGACAUGAGGGCGCGCUAGGGCCCCCAGGCGCGCCCUGGUGGGUUGUGCUCAGCCCAGCCCACCUCCAAUGCCCCUCUUCUGGUAUCGAAGUCAUUUUGACCUAGAAAAAUAAGGGGAGGACUUUCGGGAUGAAGCGCCACCGUCUCGAGGCGGAACAUGGACAGGAGCACUUUUGCCCUCCGGCGGAGCGAUUCCGUCAGGGGAACUUCCCUCCCGAAGGGGGAAACCAUUGUCAUCAUCAUCACCAACAACUCUCCCAUCUUGGGGAAGGCAAUCUCCAUCAACAUCUUCAACAACACCAUCCCCUCUCAAACCCUAGUUCAUCUCUUGUGUUCAGCCUUUGUACCGGAACUAUAGAUUGGUGCUUGUGGGUGACUAGUAGUGUUGAUUGCAUCUUCUAGUUGAUUACUAUAUGGUUUACUUGGUGGAAGAUUAUAUGUUCACAUCCAUUAUCCUAUUUAAUACCCCUGUGAUCCUGAGCAUGAUUACCAUUUGUGAGUAGUUAUUUUUGUUCAUGAGGUCACGGGAGAAAUCUUGUUUUAAGUAAUCAUGUGAAUUUUAUAUGUGUUUGAUAUUUUGAUAGUAUGUAUGUUGUGUUUCCCUUAGUGGUGUCAUGUGAAUGUCGACUACAUGACACUUCACCAUACUUGGUCCUAAGGGAAUGCAUUGUGGAGUAUUUAUUAGAUGAUGGGUUGCGAGAGUGAUAGAAGCUUAAACCCUAGUGUAUGCGCUAUUCCGUAAGGGACUGAGUAGGACCCAAAAGUUUAAUGCUAGUUAGAAUUUAUUCUUAAUAUUUUUCUCGUAGUUGCGGAUGUUUACGAGGGGGUUAAUCAUAAGUAGGAGGUUUGUUCAAAUAAGAACAACACCUAAGCACCGAUCCACCCACAUAUCAAAUUAUCAAAGUAGUGAACACAAAUCAAACCAACAUGAUGAAAGUGACUAGAUGAAAUUCCCGUGUGCCCUCAAGAACACUUUGCUUAUCAUAAGAGACUGUUUUGGCCUGUUCUUUGCCUCAAGAGGAUUGGGCUACCUUGCUGCACUUUUGUUACCGUUACCGUUAUUUUCUUCUUACAAAUUACCUUGCUAUCAAACUACUCGAUACUUAUAAUUUCAGUGCUUGCAUACGUUACUUUGCUGAGACCGCUUGUCAUUUCCUUGUGCUCCUCGUUGGGUUUGGCACUCUUACUUAUCGAAAGGACUACAAUUGAUCCCCUAUACUUGUGCAGAGGUAGCUACAGAGCCAAGUAAGAUACGAGCUGUCGCUAAUUGGCAAUCCCCCAAGGAUGUCAAAGGGGUCCGGAGUUUUUGGGACUUGUAGGCUACUAUCGACGAUUUGUGCGUCACUUCGGCAUGAUCGCGCGACCUCUGUUCAACCUGCUGAAAAAAGGUGCUCCCUUCGUAUGGUCUUCGAUCAGUGAAACCGCGUUUCAAACACUGAACCAACACCUGAUCACUGUCCCCGAUCCUUGCACUACCAGACUUUCAAAACAGUUUGUGAUCGAGAAAGACACCAGCGACAAAGGGGAUGGCGUAACGACAACGAUGCUACGAUGGAGAUCAAGGUGUCGCGCCGGUGACGAUGGUGAUCACGACGGUGCUUCGGAGAUGGAGAUCACAAGCACAAGAUGAUGAUGGCCAUAUCAUAUCACUUAUAUUGAUUGCAUGUGAUGUUUAUCCUUUAUGCAUCUUAUCUUGCUUUGAUUGACGGUAGCAUUUUAAGAUGAUCUCUCACUAAAAUUAUCAAGAAGUGUUCUCCCUGAGUAUGCACCGUUGCCAAAGUUCGUCGUGCCCAGACACCACGUGAUGAUCGGGUGUGAUAAGCUCUACGUCCAUCUACAACGGGUGCAAGACAGUUUUGCACACGCAGAAUACUCAGGUUAAACUUGACGAGCCUAGCAUAUGCAGAUAUGGCCUCGGAACACGGAGACCGAAAGGUCGAACGUGAAUCAUAUAGUAGAUAUGAUCAACAUAGUGAUGUUCACCAUUGAAAACUACUCCAUCUCACGUGAUGAUCGGUUAUGGUUUAGUUGAUUUGGAUCACGUGAUCACUUAGAUGACUCGAGAGAUGUCUGUCUAAGUGGGAGUUCUUAAGUAAUAUGAUUAAUUGAACUUAAAUUUAUCAUGAACUUAGUCCUGGUAGUAUUUUGCAAAUUAUGUUGUAAGAUCAAUAGCUUGCGUUGUUGCUUUCAUAUGUUUAUUUUGAUAUGUUCCUAGAGAAAAUUGUGUUGAAAGAUGUUAGUAGAAAUGAUGCGGAUUGGAUCCGUGACCUGAGGUUUAUCUUCAUUGCUGCACAGAAGAAUUAUGUCCUUAAUGCACCGCUAGGUGACAGACCUAUUGCAGGAGCAUAUGCAGACGUUAUGAACGUUUAGCUAGCUCAAUAUGAUGACUACUUGAUAGUUUAGUGCACCAUGCUUAACGGCUUAGAAUCGGGACUUCAAAAACGUUUUGAAACGUCAUGGACCAUAUGAGAUGUUCCAGGAGUUGAAGUUAAUAUUUCAAGCAAAUAUCCGAGUUGAAAGAUAUGAAGUCUCCAACAAGUUCUAUAGCUAAAAGAUGGAGGAGAAUCGCUCAACUAGUGAGCAUGUGCUCAGAUUGACUGGGUACUACAAUCGCUUGAAUCAAGUGGGAGUUAAUCUUCCAGAUAAGAUAGUGAUUGACAGAAUUCUCUAGUCACCACCACCAAGUUAGUAGAACUUCGUGAUGAACUAUAAUGCAAGGGAUGACGAAAACGAUUCCCAAGCUCUUCGUGAUGCUGAAAUUGACGAAGGUAGAAAUCAAGAAAGAGCAUCAAGUGUUGAUGAUUGACAAGACCACUAGUUUCAAGAAAAGGGCAAAGGGAAAGAAAGGGAACUUCAAGCAGAAUGGCAAGCAAGUUGUCACUCCCGCGAAGAAGCCCAAAGCUGGACCAAAGCCUGAAACUGAGUGAUUAUACUGCAAAGGAAAUGGUCACUAGAAGCGGAAAUGCCUUGAAUAUUUGGUGGAUAAGAAGGAUGGCAAAUUGAACAAGGGUAUAUUUGAUAUACAUGUUAUUGAUGUGUACCUUACUAGUGUUUAUAGUAACCCCUAAGUAUUUGAUAAUUGUUCGGUUGCUAAGAUUAGUAACUCGAAACAGGAGUUACAGAAUAAACAGAAACUAGUUGAGGGUGAAGUGACGAUGUGUGUUCGAAGUGGUUCCAAGAUUGAUAUGAUCAUCAUCGCACACUCCCUAUACUUUCGGGAUUAGUGUUGAACCUAAAUAAAUGUUAUUUGGUGUUUGCGUUGAGCAUGAAUAUGAUUUGAUCAUGUUUAUUGCAAUACAGUUAUUCAUUUAAAAUCAGAGAAUAAUUGUUGUUCUGUUUAAAUGAAUAAAACCUUUGAUGGUCAUACACCCAAUGAAAAUAGUUUGUUGGAUCUCGAUCGUAGUGAUACACAUAUUCAUAAUAUUGAUGCCAAAAGAUGCAAAGUUGAUAAUGAUAGUGCAACUUAUUUGUGGCACUGCCGUUUGGGUCAUAUUGGUGUAAAGCGCAUGAAGAAACUCCAUGAAGAUGGAUUUUCGGAAUCACUUGGUUAUGAAUCAUUUGAUGCUUGCGAACCGUGCCUUUUGGGCAAGAUGACUAAAAACUUCGUUCUCCGGAACAAUGGAACAAGCCACUGACUUAUUGGAAAUAAUACAUAAUGAUGUAUGCGAUCCAAUGAGUGUUGAUGCUCGUGGCAAGUAUCGUUAUUUUCUGACCUUCACAAAAUGAUUUGAGCAGAUAUGGGUAUAUCUACUUGAUGAAACAUAAGUCUGAAAUAAUUGAAAGGUUCAAAGAAUUUCAGAGUGAAGUGGAAAAAUCAUCGUAACAAGAAAAUAAAAUUUCUACGAUCUGAUCGCGGAGACGAAUAUUUGAGUUACGAGUUUGGUCUUCAAUUAAAACAAUGUGGAAUAGUUUCACAGCUCACGCCAUCUGGAACACCACAAUGUAAUGGUGUGUCCGAACUCGUAAUCGUACUUUACUAGAUAUGGUGCGAUCUAUGAUGUCUCUUAUCGGUUUACCACUAUCGUUUUGGGGUUAUGCAUUAGAGACAGAUGCAUUCACAUUUAAUAGGGCACCAUCUAAAUCCGUUGAGACGACACCGUAUGAACUAUGGUUUAGCAGUAAACCUAAGCUGCCGUUUCUUAAAGCUUGGAGCUGUGAUGCUUAUAUGAAAAAGGUUUUCAACCUGAUAAGCUCGAACCCAAAUCGGAGAAGUGCGUCUUCAUAGAAUACCCAAAGGUAACUAUUGGGUACACCUUCUAUCAUAGAUCCAAAGGUAAGUUAUUCGUUGCUAAGAUGGAUCCUUUCUAGAGAAGAAGUUUCUCUCGAAAGAAGUGAGUGGGAGGAAAGUAGAACUUGAUGAGGUAAUUGUACCUUCUCCCUUAUUGGAAAGUAGUUCAUCACAGAAAUCAGUUCCAGUGAUUACUACACCAAUUAGUGAGGAAGUUAAUGAUGAUGAUCAUGAAACUUCAUAUCAAGUUGCUGCCAAACCUUGUAGGUCUUCCAGAGUAAGAUCCGCACCAGAGUGGUACGGUAAUCAUGUUCUGGAAGUCAUGUUACUAGACCAUGAUGAACCUACGAACUAUGAGGAAGCGAUGAUGAGCCCAGAUUCCACGAAAUGGCUUGAGGCCAUAAAAUCUGAGAUAUGAUCCAUGUAUGAGAACAAAGUAUGGACUUUGAUUGACUUGCUUAAUGAUCAGCAAGCCAUGUUAAAUAAAUGGAUCUUCAAGAGGAAGACGGACACUGAUAGUAGUGUUACUAUCUACAAAGCUCGACUUGUUGCAAAAGGUUUUUGACAAGUUCAAGGUGUUGAAUACGAUGAGAUUUUCUCACUCGUAACGAUGCUUAAGUCUGUCCGAAUCAUGUUAGCAAUUGCCACAUUUUAUGAAAUCUAGCAAAUGGAUGUCAAAACUGCAUUCCUUAAUGGAUUUAUUAAAGAAGAGUUGCAUAUGAUGCAACCAGAAGGUUUUGUCGAUCCUAAAGGUGUUAACAAAAUAUGCAAGCUCCAGUGAUCCAUCUAUAGACUGGUGCAAGCAUCUCGGAGUUGGAAUAUAUGCUUUGAUAAAUUGAUCAAAGGAUAUAGUUUUAUACAUACUUACGGUGAAGCCUGUAUUUACAAGAAAGUGAGUGGGAGCUCUGUAGCAUUUCUAAUAUUAUAUGUGGAUGACAUAUUGUUGAUUGGAAAUGAUAUAGAAAUUCUGGAUAGCAUGAAAGGAUACUUGAAUAAGAGUUUCAAAGCAAGACCUCGGUGAAGCUGCUUACACAUUGAGCAUCAAUAUCUAUAUAGAUAGAUCAAGACGCUUGAUAAGAUUUUUCAAUGAGUACAUACCUUGAUAAAUUCUUGAAAUAGUUCAAAAUGGAACAGUCAAAGAAGGAGUUCUUGCCUGUGAUGCAAAGGUGUGAAUUUGAGUAAGACUCAAGACCCGACCAUGGCAGAAAAUAAAAAGAGAGUGAAAAGUCAUUCCCUAUGCCUCAGUCAUAGGUUCUAUAAAGUAUGCUAUGCUGUGAACCAGGCCUAUUGUAUACCUUGCUCUGAGAUUGACAAAGGAAUACAAUUUUGAUCUAAGAGUAGAUCACUGGACAGCGGUCAAGAAUAUCCUUAGUGAGGACUAAGGAGAUGUUUCUCGAUUAUGGAGGUGAUAAAAGAGCCCGUCGUAAAAAGUUACAACGAUGCAAGCUUUUACACUGAUCCAGAUGACUCUAAGUCUCAAUCUGGAUACAUAUUGAAAGUGGGAGCAAUUAGCUAGAGUAUCUCCAUGCAGAGCAUUAUGGACAUAGAAUAUUUUGCAAAAUACAUACGGCUUUGAAUAUGACAGAUCCGUUGACUAAACUUCUCUCACAAGCAAAACAUGAUCAUACCUUAGUACUCUUUGGGUGUUAAUGACAUAGCGAUGUGAACUAGAUUAUUGACUCUAGUAAACCCUUUGGGUGUUGGUCACAUGACGAUGUAAACUAUGGGUGUUAAUCAUAUACAGAUAUGAAUAUUGAUGUUAAAUCACAUGGCGAUGUGAACUAGAUUAUUGACUCUAGUGCAAGUGGGAGACUGAAGGAAAUAUGCCCUAGAGGCAAUAAUAAAGUUAUUAUUUAUUUCCUUAUAUCAUGAUAAAUGUUUAUUAUUCAUGCUAGAAUUGUAUUAACCGGAAACAUAAUACAUGUGUGAAUACAUAGACAAACAUAUAGUCACUAGUAUGCCUCUACUUGACUAGCUCAUUAAUCAAAGAUGGUUAUGUUUCCUAACCAUAGACAUGUGUUGUCAUUUGAUUAAUGGGAUCACAUCAUUAGGAGAAUGAUGUGAUUGACAUGACCCAUUCCGUCAGCCUAGCACUUGAUCGUUUAGUAUGUUGCUAUUGCUUUCUUCAUGACUUAUACAUGUUCCUGUAACUAUGAGAUUAUGCAACUCCCAUUUACCGGAGGAACACUUUGGGUGCUACCAAACGUCACAACGUAACUGGGUGAUUAUAAAGGAGUACUACAGGUGUCUCCAAAGGUACAUGUUGGGUUGGCGUAUUUCGAGAUUAGGUUUUGUCACUCCGAUUGUCGGAGAGGUAUCUCUGGGCCCUCUCGAUAAUGCACAUCACUAUAAGCCUUGCAAGCAAUGUGACUAAUGAGUUAGUUGCGGGAUGAUGCAUUAUGUAACGAGUAAAGAGCUUGCCGGUAACGAGAUUGAACUAGGUAUUGGAUACCGACGAUCGAAUCUCGGGCAAGUAACAUACCGAUGACAAAGGGAACAAAGUAUGUUGUUAUGCGGUUUGACCGAUAAAGAUCUUCGUAGAAUAUGUAGGAGUCAAUAUGGGCAUCCAGGUUCCGCUAUUGGUUAUUGACCAAGAAUAGUUCUAGGUCAUGUCUACAUAGUUCUCGAACCCGUAGGGUCCGCACGCUUAAGGUUUCGAUGACAGUUAUAUUAUGAGUUUAUGAGUUUUGAUGUACCGAAGAAGUUCGGAGUCCCGGAUGAGAUCGGGGACAUGACGAGGAGUCUCGAAAUGGUCGAGACGUAAAGACCGAUAUAUUGGACGACUAUAUUCGGAGUUCGUAAAGGUUCCGAGUGAUUCGGAUAUUUUUCGAAGUACUGGAGAGUUACGGGAAUUCGCCGGGGAGUAUAUGGGCCUUAUUGGGCCAUACGGGAAUAGUGGAGAGAGGCCAAAAGGAAGGAGGCCUGCGCCCCCCCCCCCUCUGGUCCAAAUUGGACAAGGGGCGCAGCCCCCCUUUCCUUCUUCCUCUCCCCCUCUUUCCCCCUCUCCUACUCCAACAAGGGAGGUGGAAUCCUACUAGGACUAGGGAGUCCUAGUAGGACUCCACACUUGGCGCGCCCCCUCCUAGGGCCGGCAUCCUCCCCCCUUGCUCCUUUAUAUACGGGGGCAGGGGGGCACCCCAUAGACACACAAGUUGAUCUACGGAUCGUUCCUUAGCCGUGUGCGGUGCCCCCCUCCACCAUAUUCCACCUCGAUCAUAUCGUCGGGGAGUUUAGGCGAAGCCCUGCGCCGGUAGAACAUCAUCGUCGUCACCAUGCCGUCGUGCUGAUGGAACUCAUCCCCGAAGCUUUGCUGGAUCGGAGCCCGGGGAUCGUCAUCGAGCUGAACGUGUGCUGAACUCGGAGGUGCCGUACGUUUGGUACUUGGAUCGGUCGGACCGUGAAGACGUACGACUACAUCAACCGCGUUGUCAUAACGCUUCCGCUUACGGUCUACGAGGGUACGUGGACGAACACUCUCCCCUCUCGUUGCUAUGCCAUCACCAUGAUCUUGCGUGUGCGUAGAAAUUUUUUUGAAAUUACUACGUUCCCCAACAUGAAGUCCCAAGCACACAAGAAGAGAUCUUUCCGCGAAUUCCAAGUGGACGAUCAAGUCUUCCUCAAGCUACAACCGUAUAUUCAUAUAUCUGUUGCUCCGCGGGCAAAUCAGAAGCUCUCGUUCAAGUUCUAUGGGCCUUUUCCUAUCAUAAAGAAGAUUAACGAGGUGGCGUAUGAGCUCUAGUUACCAGCUACAACCACGGUGCACCCAUUGUUUCACGUCUCGCAACUCCGGCGAGCCCUGCAAUCAGGUACACUGGUCGAACAUACUGUGUCGUUGUGUACUGACGACCUUGCUGUUCCUGUGGAAGUGCUUCAAUCCCGUUGGCGCGCAUGUCGGGGCUCUGGCAUCGAGCAAGUUCAAGUGCGCUGGUAUGGAGCUACCGGCAUAACCUGGAAGGACAAGGAGGCGCUUCGAGCUCACUUUCCCCACGCGGCGGGACCGUCCACAAGGGCUCAAGGGGGCAGCGAUGCACGGGCCAAGCGUCCACGGGUUGCCAACCCACGAGUCAGCAGGCCGGACUGGGUAACCGCGGCCCAACUUCUUCCGCCCGCUACUUAACCGGCAUCGCUGGGAAGGGAGAACCAUCUAGAGGAUCAGGCACCCGACGGCUGGCUACCUACAACCGUUCCCCAUUGACAUGAACCCUAGCUACGAUACCUGCAAUCGAGUUGUAAUUGCCAUCUUAAAAUCAUACUUCGUGUGAGAAUUGCUGCCAAGUAAUUGAGAGGCUAGUUCGUCCCUAUCAAGCCGUGCACGCCUGCAUGCGGCAAUACGGCAUGGAAGAGCAUGGUGACCAAGGCAGAGUUCAAUUUUUCAGCGCGACGCACGCGCCCACGGCGUGCACGAGCCGCCGGCCAGCUCGCGGCCAGUUCACCCGACAAGGGCGGCCUAUGCUCUCACAGCAUGUACGGGCGUCCACUGUCCUAGGUUUUUGUACUCCUGUUGCAUCCGUGCCGUGCCGUGGUCAGGUGAGGUCCAGCUCCCUCCGGCGGAUCAUGGUUAGAUCCAACAACCAACCGGGGUCUCGUCCUCCUCGUCGCAUUCACUUUCCAGCUGCCGCGUACCACGCUCGAAGCCGGCACACGCAACUCGGGACUGUCCGCCGGAGAAGAGCACGCGUCGUGAGAAAAGGCUCAACAGAACGGCAUGGUCGGCCGCGCAGCAGAGCACCUAAAAAACGCCACCAUGCGAGCCACGCGCGUCACCGUCCGGCCGUCCUAGGAUAGACGAGCCACACCCGCACCGUCAUCCAUCCGUGCUGCGGGCGCGCACCGGGUUCAGACUUCGGAUGAAGGCAAAAAACACAUAUUUGACCUGAGGACCAAAAGAAUUCACAAUCUGAACUCCUUUCGAAAAAAUUGCACCGAGCUGACCGUUUCGAGUGGCGUCCGACAGAUAGGCGCCACACUAUACUGUGCAGCGCCUGUAGCUUAGGCACCACACGCCGGUCCAGUGUGGCAGCCCGGGCCCCACUCCUGGUUGUGCAGCGCCUAGCUGAAAGGAGUUACACAGUGUAGUGCAGCGCCUAACCGAAAGGAGUUGCAAUAUCUUAUAUUAAAACUGUUGUAACUUUUAAUCCAUGCAUCCGAUGGAAACGUGCCUUAUAUGAAAGUUGUACAUUUUUCCGUGUUCUACGCAAUGGUUGCAUUUUCAUCUAUGUUAGGAUCAAUUUGUUUGAUGAAAGCCCUGUUGCAAAAGUGCAUCAUAAUAUAACUGACAGAAUCUGGUAAAAUUUACAAACUUGGCAUGAUGAUAGCCAUUCACCUAUAGCUCUUACGCGUUUUCAACCUACAUGAGUUUUGCACUGCAUAAUGUGUACUUUCAUGCCAUGCCUAUGCUUGCCAUGUUAAUCAUCCUUAACAUGUUCAUUUCUUGGAUCUAAGUGACUAACAUGAUAUAAGUGAACUUCUGUUACAGAAAGUUACAUUAUGUAAGAUCCAUAGUAAUUAAUCCUAACAUCAUAUGAAUAUGAUCUAACCCGCCGUGAAGCCACGUGCCCCCCUCUCGAAGCUCCCAAAUGCGGCACGGCCGAAGAAGUGCAAGGCAUCCGCGAAGAAGAACAAGGCGGCGGACGGCUCCGGCUCUUCGAAGCCGUCGAGGAAGAAGCUUGCAGGGUGUGUGACGGGUGCGGCAGCUACCGAAGCGCCGACGAGCUCACUUGUUGAGCCGGCGGCCGACGCGCACAAGGUGUUCGAGGAAAUGCCCCAAAGUAAUAAAAUUUCGCCAACUUUUUGUUGUUGUGAUUUUUUGAAUGCACACGUAUAGAUAGCUUAUUUGCUUCAUUGUAUAUACUUUGUAGCUUCAACGAUGAGGCAUAUAUGUCAACUAUGGGUGUUGUCUCCAACAAUUCGCAUUGGUCUCAAAUCAAUGACAUGCAUUUCGAUGACCAUGAGUUCGAGGUGGACGAGGAUGGUGGGGCAUUGUCGACGCACCGAAAGGAAGAGGAGGCAACUACACCAACGAAGAAGAUGUCUUACUAUGCAAUACUUGGUUGCAAGGGUCGAAGGAUCCAUCCGUUGGAGGUGAUCAAAGUAGAGAUGCUUAUUGGAACCGGAUGAAGGAGCACUUUGAUCUACACAACAAGAGUAGAAUUGACCGCUCCGACCGAUAUCUUCGCUCCGCCGACAAUCAACAAAGAUUGUCAGAAGUGGGCGGCCGCACAAAAGGCGGUUGACAAGUUGAACCCAAGUGGCAGAACUUUGCAUUUUAUCAGCACGGUCGUGGCUUGGUGACAUCUAGUGACUUGGUGAAAUUAACGUGUCAAUCUGGCAGAACAUUGCCUUAGUUACUUUAGUAUAUCAAAACAUAGUGAUGCAAAUAUUUAGUGGGUAUGAAAAUGACAUAGACUUAAGGUAGACAUAAAAUUUUCCAACUUUCAUAGUUAGAUCAUAUUCAUAUGAUGUCAGGAUUAAUUACUAUGGAUCUUACAAAAUGUAACUUUCUACAACAGAAGUUCACUUAUAUCAUGUUAGUCACUUAGAUCCAAGAAAUGAUCAUGUUAAGGAUGAUUAACAUGGCAAGCAUAGGCAUGGCGUGAUAGUACACAUUAUGCAGUGCAAAACUCAUGUAGGCUGAAAACGUGUCAGAGGUAUAGGUGAAUGGCUAUCAUCAUGCCAAGUUUGUAAAUUUUAACAGAUUCUGUCAGUUAUAUUAUGAUGCACUUUUGCAACAAGGUUUUCAUCAAGCAAAUUGAUCCUAACAUAGAUGAAAAUGCCACCAUUGCGUACAACACGGAAAAAUAUACAACUUUCAUAUAAGGCACUUUUUCAUCGGGUACACGGAUUAAAGGUUACAGUAGUUUUAAUAUAAGGUAGUGCAACUCCUUUCGGUUAGGCGCUGCACUACAUUGUGCAACUCCUUUCAACUAGACGCUGCACAACCAGGAGUGGGGCCCGGGCUGCCAUGCUGGACGGCGUGUGGCACCUAAGCUCCAGGCGCUGCACAGUAUAGCGUGGCGCCUAUCUGUCGGGCGCCACUCGAAACGGUCAGCUCGGUGCAAUUUUUUUGAAAGGAGUUCAGAUUGUGAAUUCUUUUUGUCCUUAGGUCAAAUAUGUGUUUUUUGCCUCGGAUGGAUGGAUGGAUAGAUAGGGAUGGCGCCGCCACCUCAGCCGGCAGUCACCACCGGCACCGUGCGCGCGCACACGCAUGUACGCGCCGCACCCGGAGCACGAGACGUGCCACGCCUCUCCCCGCGCAUCUCAUCCCAUCCCAUCCAUCCAUCCAUCCAUCGAGCAGAGAACCUUAUCGCGGCGCCACACCACACACCGCACACCCCACUCCACUGUACUCCCUCGCCGGAGCCAAAAGGCACCCACGGAGACACGAGGGGCACCGGACCCAUGAGACAUACUUGCGCCCUGGACCAGGCAGGCAGGCAACCUGGUCAUGCAUCACCAUCUCACUCACUCGCCAUGGCCGCCUUCUGCUUAGCGCCAAGGCGGGCAGACAAGACAAGCGCCCGGCGCGAGACAGCCGGGCAGCGAGCAAGACACACUCAGCCAUCACAUUCACAGGGGCGCUGUGGCCCGGCCAGGGAUACGGUUGCAACUGCGCAAGAUACACUCAGCCAUCACAAGAUACACGCCGUCGGCCAGCACAACCAUAACAAAAUUAGCCACGCCGCAUCAUGAAUCAAUGUUUGCAGGUACGUAAUCUCACAAGUAGCAAGUACAAAAUUUAAUCUUGUCGUAUCAUGGGUGCUAUGAAGAAAAGCAGCUCAGCGUAUCAGUAGGGGCACUUGCAUGCAAAAAUCAGCUGCUCAGGAAUCUCAAAAAUUGCAUUCCACAAGUGGCCAAAAUCACUGUUUUGACACUUUAUCCAAGGUUUACCACAAUUUGACCCCUGUUUUACUCCCUCCGUAAACAAAUAUAAAGAGCAUUUACAUAACUGCCUUAGUGAUCGAAACGCUCUUAUAUUAGUUUAUAGAAGGAGUAGAGUUUAUCCGGAUCUGACCCUAAAGCAGUGCGGAUAAAUUUUCAAACACAGGUCAAAUCAUGCUAAACUUUGAAUAAAGGGUCAAAACAUUGAUUUUGGGCUCCACAAGUUGGAAACAUUCACCAAUGUUUAUCUCACAAAGUUGCAUUCCACCCAGGAGUCCUUUUGGUAUGAAUAGCACUUCAGCAUAGUACUAGCAUACAUACAGAAUGAGCUGCACAGCAUCAACCCUCCAAGGAUUCUCACAGGUUGCUUUCAACGAGUUGAAAACAUCCAUUGGUAUGCAAGAUACAAACAAAUGAGCUGCCCAUCGCUAAUGCUGGAAGGUGUCCCACUGGCGUGCAAUGUUACUACUAGAAUAGCUCCCACGACACUAGCAUUAGUGCCUAACACCACUGGUCAAACUAUAACAAAACUAGCUCCAGCACAGCACAACAUACAAAAUGAGCACAUCCAAGACGGCUCAGCAAGUAAGAUGCAUACAGAUGAGCACAGUAAAGAGACCAAUCUCAAAGAGAGCAGGAAAUGCAGAUGCAAUGCAUUCAUCUCAUCUUUCUUUUUCAGCAUAGUAGUACUAGGGUACAUGCAAAACGAGCUAAACAGCAUCAAUCCUGGAUGGAAUCACCCAAAAUUUCAUUCCAGAACUUGGAAACAUCCAUCAGCUGCUCGGCAACUAGUACCACAAUACAUACAAAUGAGCAGGUAAGACAUACCCAUCUCAAAGAAAGACGGCAAGAAAGCGGCAAAAAAAGGAGUAUAAUGCGAACUUAUUUUUCUUUUUCAUUCAUUCAUACUACUAGGAGCAACAGCCACAAGACUUGUCUUGAGCUAGCUACAAUGUCUGGACCAACAUUGACAGAUAACAUGGAAGGAGGAACAUAACAUAACCAGCAGCUACUAUAACUUAUCACAAAUGUAACCUACUAUCAAAAAUACUCUCACUCACUCACUCUCACCACCAUAACGCUAAUGUGCUCGGGAGACUAGGGAAAACGGACACCACCUUGGGCACGAGCUGGUUGAGCUGCCCGGGGAAAAACCCAAGAUGAUCUCCUCCCUCCCAACGCACACGGAUUGAUUACACUCACAGGAGGCCCAUCACACCAGCAUUUUACUACUUAGGUCCCGAUUGGAUUGCCGGAUAUUUCCCACACCCGUAAACUUCUACACUUGCAUAUUACUGGUUCCCAAAGAAAUACAUGACACGGGUUGUAUUUGUAAAUCCGAUGCGCUGAGGCAUGUAUCAUAUACCAGCCCAUUACCGGUGUAUUUGAGGAAACAGGCGUAAUAAUUACCAUCGUGAUACGACGUUCCAAGCGCCAGGUCGUCUUGUCCACCGGUUUUGUUUACGGGGCUGUAUUUUACAAGUGUAACCGGCUGGAAAACGCUAUUCCAAGCGCGGCCUUAAAGAUAAACCUUAAACCUCUCUUGAUUCACACGCAGAAAUCGACGGUAUGCAGGAAAUCAUCCAUGCCUCGGCCGAAGUCGCAGCCGGGCAUCUCCAGGAAGUCGUCGCCGAUGUCGAGGUCCAUGUCCAGGUCGAGCUCCUCGUCGGCGAAGUCACCGAGCAGCAGGUCCUGUUCGCCGUCCAAGUAAGCCGACGCCUCGGAGACGUCCAGGGCAUCAAGCCCGGCGCGGAAGUCCAUCGGGUCGAUGUCCGGCAGCUGAAGACCGCGCAGGAGGUCCUGGUAGAACUCUGGGUCGUCAGGCAGCUGCGCGGUCUCAGCCGUGGUGGACACCAUGACCGGAACUGGAGUCGGCUCAGGCGACAGGGACUCAUCUGCUGGCUUCGUGGCUUCAAGGACAGAGGACGGCGACGGGUGCGCGAACGGAGCAGCAGAGGUGGAGGACGACGAAGAUGCCGUCGGUGUAGUAGAAGACGACGUCGGUGUUGUUGACGCAGCAGACCGAGCGGGCGAGGCCGCGGCCACAGACUGGCCACGGCGGCGACGCUUCUCCUCGAUAAAGCUCCGGGAGGCGGCCUGGUAGGCGGCGGAGGCCAAGUCGGCGGUGUCGAAGGUGCCAAGCCACUCCCUCUUGCCGGAGAACGGGUUGCGGAUCUCGGCCGCCCACUUGCCCCACUUGCGGAGGCGCACACCGCGGUGGCCCUCGGCGCUGCUGGUGGUGCAGGCAGCGACAGCAGAAGCAGCGGCGGUCGGAGUGACCGGCUUGGCAAACACCUUGGCCGGCGGGGCCUUGCCAAGGAACAGCUCGAAGCAGCGCUUGGACGAAGCAGGUGCGGCGACCGCCGCCUCCUCCUCGUCGUCGGUGUCGGAGUCGGUGGCGUCGGGGUCCUCGUACAGGACGCGCACGCGCCGCCUCGGCGGCUGCGCGGCGGGCAGCAGCGCCUGCGCCUGCAGCUGCGCCGGCUUGGAGAAGGCGGCGGAGGGCUUGACGCCGAACCCGGCGAGCAUCCUGGUCUUGGGCCUCUUGGCCAGCGCGUCCCUGAUGCGCAUGUGGUGCUGGCUCAAAGGCGCCAUGGAUCCUCCUCGUCUUCUUCCUCCUCUAACACUGACUGACUAGCAAAACUGAAAGGGGAAAAACUCUACUAGGAAAAGGGGAC